This 51243-nucleotide long non-coding RNA is filed under the name Eucalyptus grandis. The record is from RNAcentral. Lineage: Eukaryota; Viridiplantae; Streptophyta; Magnoliopsida; Myrtales; Myrtaceae.
GCAAUCAUAAGUACAGGUGUCGGGCAGCAUCAAAUGUGGGCUGCACAGUUUUACAAUUAUAGGAGGCCUCGGCAGUGGUUGACAUCCGGAGGAUUAGGGGCUAUGGGUUUUGGGUUGCCAGCUGCUAUUGGAGCUGCUGUUGCAAAGCCUGAUGCCAUUGUUGUGGACAUUGAUGGAGAUGGGAGCUUUAUCAUGAAUGUCCAGGAGUUGGCUACUAUCAGAGUGGAGAACCUUCCUGUUAAAAUUCUUCUAUUGAACAAUCAACACCUGGGCAUGGUUGUCCAAUGGGAGGAUCGCUUCUACAAGGCCAAUAGGGCACACACUUACUUAGGAGAUCCGUCGAGAGAGUCUGAGAUAUUCCCAGACAUGUUGAAGUUUGCUGAAGCUUGUGGAAUACCUGGUGCUCGGGUGACCAAGAAAGCAGAUGUUAGAGCUGCAAUUCAGACAAUGCUGGAUACUCCUGGGCCAUACUUGCUAGAAGUGAUCGUUCCCCAUCAAGAGCACGUCUUGCCUAUGAUUCCAAGUGGUGGGGCUUUUAAAGAUGUGAUAGUCGAGGGUGAUGGACGAUCAGCAUACUGAUGUCCUGAAUGAUCUUGUACGUUGCUGUGGCCUUAUCAUGAGAGUUGAGGCACUUCCUUCCCUUUUAAUUUUUAACUCAUGCUAAUGCAUGGGAAGAUCUUUAGUUGUUUUACUUGUAAUGGCACAAAGUAGUUUGUAGUUAGGUAAUAUCAGAGCUUGUGAAGGUUGAUUUAGUUAUCAUCACUGGUUCGCUGAGAAUAAAUUGCGGUUUAGUGAUGGUGUUCCAUCUUUGAUGGUGAAGAUCUCAUAAUAUUAUGUCUUGUUUAUGUCGAAUUUGUUCUGGUUUAAAUCUUGUAGUUACAGCCUGGUACGGUAAUGUUGAAGUGACGAUUUCGUACCAAGAUGAAUGCCUCAUUAGUUGCAAUCGGAGUUGGGUUACAUGUUAUUGGAUGUUUUAUGUGUGGCAUGAGUGCACUGCAGCUUCUUUAGUUUCCUUUUGAAAGUCGAGUCACUGCUUGCAUUGCUUCCAUCAGGGCUUUGCAGUCUAUUGAUACUUCCAUUGCCCUUGGUGGAAAAUUGGGACAGAACUCCAAGGGUGAUUAGUUUGCUCAUCGAGAAUGGACAUCUUUACUUGGGUGCGUGAAAUAUCUUCGUUUAUGACAACCGAAUGUGUUAAACCUUUAAAUGGGUUGUUCUGGUGAUGAUUUACCUACUCCUACUCUCAUGCUACUGAUGUUCUGCAAGUGGUAGAUUGAUGGGCAAGUGUUCUUCCAAUGCUUUUAAUUCUCUCCUUGUAAUACUAGUUUGGAAAGUACACUAUGUGUCAUUCACUUUUUCAGGUAUGGUAGUGCAUGCUUUGUUCAAUUUCCGAGUUGAUAAGAAUCGGGACACAAGCUCAGGGUCCUUGCGCUUGCUGGGAUCGCACGAGUGGGUUGUCCUUCACGGUUGGCGUGAGUGCAGGGUUUGAGCACUUUGAAGUAGGUCUGCUUCAAGAUUUUGAGUUGAAGUUUCAGGAGUCGUCAUUUUCGUUUUAAAUGCUAGGAUGGGGAAGAGGAAUGUACAAUGCAGUCCAUUGCCAAUCGAAUCCCAGUUUCGAAAACUGGUGCGGUCUGUCGUUCCUCAACCAGAAUGAUCUCUUCUCAUGUCUAACGAUCUCUCCAGAUAACUCGAGUCAGUGAUAUUGUUGAGUUUUAACUCUGACGUUCCUCAACCGGAAUGAUCUCUUCUCAUGUCUAACGAUCUCUCCAGAUAACUCGAGUUAGUGAUAUUGUUGAGUUUUAACUCUGACAUUCCUCAACCGGAAUGAUCUCUUCUCAUGUCUAACGAUCUCUCCAGAUAACUCGAGUCAGUGAUAUUGUUGAGUUUUAACUCAAAAGACGAUGUGGAGGAUACAUACUCAAAACACUCAAAACAGAAAUCUUUACGAAGAAGAUUAGACCCGACAACAUGGAGGAUGCAAACAUCAAACCCAAAACAGAAAUCUUCUGAAAAAAGAAGAGGUCCGCAAAAGAUUUUUUAUGAUUGAUAAAUUGAGGAUCAGAAGUCUGAAUGAAUGAAUUUGAGUAAAAGCAUUGUAAAGAAUGAUUUCUUUUCUCUUCUGGACAAAAUGAAGAAGAGAAGGACAGAGGAGGAGGUGUGGAGAGUGGGAUUUGAACCCACGCCCUUUCGGACCAGAACCUUAAUCUGGCGCCUUAGACCAACUCGGCCAUCUCCACGUGUACGAAGCUAAAAACCAGAAGACAUACUACUAAUCGUUAAACAGAUGACAUUCUGCCAACCAUGUGCAGUGGUUGACAUCCGAAGGAUUAGGGGCUAUGGGUUUUGGGUUGCCAGCUGCGAUUGGAGCUGCUGUUGCAAAACCUGAUGCCAUUGUUGUGGACAUUGAUGGAGAUGGGAGCUUUAUCAUGAAUGUCCCGGAGUUGGCUACUAUCAGAGUGGAGAACCUUCCUGUUAAAAUUCUUCUAUUGAACAAUCAACACCUGGGCAUGGUUGUCCAAUGGGAGGAUCGCUUCUACAAGGCCUAUAGGGCACGCACUUACCUAGGAGAUCCGUCGAGAGAGUCUGAGAUAUUCCCAGACAUGUUGAAGUUUGCUGAAGCUUGUGGAAUACCUGGUGCUCGGGUGACCAAGAAAGCAGAUGUUAGAGCUGCAAUUCAGACAAUGCUGGAUACUCCUGGGCCAUACUUGCUAGAAGUGAUCGUUCCCCAUCAAGAGCACGUCUUGCCUAUGAUUCCAAGUGGUGGGGCUUUUAAAGAUGUGAUAGUCGAGGGUGAUGGACGAUCAACGGGAAAAGUACAAAAAAAGUCCUAAACCUAUUGUAUUAGUACCAAUUCAAUCAUAAACCUUUUAAUAUUGGUACAAAUUCAGUCCAUCCAGCCAAUUUUAGCCGGCCGGCACUGACGUGGACGUCUGCCGAUGAUCGGACGUUGACGUGACAAUUUUUAUGAUUUUUUUGAUUUUUUUUUUGAAAUUUUUAUUAAUUUUUUUUUUCUUUGCGUCUUCUUCCUGGAGGUGACCAGCGAGCCUCCGGUGAGGCUCGCUGGCCAUUGGGCGAGGGCCGCGAAGCCCUUGCCUGCCACCAGCGAGGGUUGCAGCCCUCGCCCGGCCUCUCCUAGGGCCGCUGGCAAGGCAGCUUCGCUUGGAUCUGGGCGAGGCCAGCCUCGCCCGCGGCUGGGGAGGCUAGCCUUGCCUGCGGUUGGCGAAACCAUGGCGGCCAUCGCCAGGGCGGAGGUGAGGGCCGCGAAGCCCUCGCCAGCGACUGUCGAGGGUCGCGGCCCUCACUCGGCCUCACCUAGGGCUGCCUCGCCCGCGGCUUAGCCCAGAUCUGGGCGAGGCCAGCCUGCACCAUCGGAGCAGCGAGGGCCACGACCCUCACGGCGACUCGCCGACCACCUCCAGGAAGAAGACGAAAAGAAAAAAAAAAUAAAAAAAAAUAAAAAAAAUUCGAAAAAAAAAUCAUAAAAAUUACCACGUCAGCGUCUGGUCACCGGCCGACGUCCACAUCAACACCGGCUGGCCAAAAUUGGCCAGAUAAACUGAAUUGGUAUCAAUAUUGAAAGGUUUAUGAUUGAAUUGGUCCAAUUGAAAAUUUAGGACUAAAUUGGUAACAAUGUAAUAGGUUUAUGAUUUUUUUUGUACUUUUCCCGACGAUCAGCAUACUGAUGUCUUGAAUGAUCUUGUACGUUGCUGCGGCCUUAUCAUGAGAGUUGUGGCACUUCCUUCCCUUUUAGUUUUUAACUUGUGCUAAUGCAUGGGAAGAUCUUUAGUUGUUUCACUUGUAAUGGCACAAAGUAGUUUGUACAUAGGUAAUAUCAGAGCAUGUGAAGGUUGAUUUAGUUAUCAUCACUAGUUUGCUGAGAAGGACAAAUAAAUUGCGGUUUAGUGAUGGUGUUCCAUCUUUGAUGGUGAAGAUCUCAUAAUAAUAUCUCUUGUUUAUGUUGAACUUGUUCUGGUUUAAAUCUUGUAGUUACAGUCUGGUACGGUAAUGUUGAAGUGGCGAUUUUGUACCAAGAUGAAUGCCUUGUUAGUUGCAAUUGGAGUUGGGUUACAUGUUAUUGAAUGUUUUAUGUGUGGCAUGAGUGCACUGCAGCUUCUUUUGUUUUCUUUUGAAAGUCGAGUCACUGCUUGCAUUGCUUCCAUCAGGGCUAUGCGGUCUAUUGAUACUUCCAUUGCCCUUGGUGGGAAAUUGGGACAGAACUCCGAAGGGUGAUUAGUUUGCUCAUCGAGAAUAUCUUCGUUUAUGACAACCGAACGUGUUAUACCUUUAAACGGGUUGUUCUGGUCAUGAUUUACCUACUCCUACUCUUAUGCCACUGAUGUUCUGCAAGUGGUAGAUUGAUGGGCAAAUUUUUCUCUUCUUGCAAUGAAAACUUAUUAUUUUACCUUCUCUUGGACUUGGGAGACAAUCCCAGAUUUUUUGGUUCUUUUUCUCGAUGAAUUUUGGGACUAGUCUGAUCUAUGAACCAGUUGCAAUGUUUCUGACAAAAAAUGGUUGAUAUCUGAAACUCCAACUUCAAGAUGAAAGGAUGUGUUGGUUCUAUUGUGAGCUGGAAAGAUGAAGACAAUGUUUGAUGAAUAAACACAUAACCCUAACAGAACUUUCACAGCAUUGAAGAAUCUACAAGUUAAUAACCCAACCUCUGGUUACAUGUCAACCAUGGUUAAUAUUGUCGAAAUAGGCAAAUUACUUGGCACAGAUCUUUUCAGAGCCACCUUUUAAUUUCUUGGCUAAAAAACCAAAGACCUUAUUUAAUGAUCAUUUUCCUUUUGUUUACCCUACUCAUCUUCAUAUUCAAGUGGCUCAUAUUUUCUGCAAGGAUCCAACCAUUAGGAAGAAGAACCAAGCAAAAAAAAAAAAGAAAAAAAGGAGAAAAAGGGAAGAAAAAAAAGGGAAAAUGAAAAUACUCUUGACCGCUAGAAAGUUGGGCUCUUAUCUGAAAUGUGUUGGAGAAAUCCUUCUGGAAUAUUUUGAAGCUGACAAAACGUUUCUAUCAGUCUAGUCUGAAGUUUUGCAGACUCUACUAUUAAAGUCUGAAGACCUCCGGACUAUCAGACUCAAGACUCAAAGUCUAUUCUCAUUGACAGUUUCUAAGCCGUUGAAGAAAGGCUAUCCAGAACUGCUUCAUUAAGGAUUUGGCCUUAUCAACUGGAGAAGAUCUCUUGGCUGGAUAUUACAUAACUGAUUCCUUUAUUCAAAUCAAGAAUGAUUAAAGAUCCGAUGAUUGGCGAAGUAUUCUUGGAAGGUUCUACUUAUGGAAACUAAGAUCCUAAUUGUAUGGGCGAGCAGGAUUGAUGGGUUAUCGACAUGUUCCUUUAAUAGCUCGAAUAAUCUUCCUAAUUGAUUCUGUCCAACGGGAGGAUUGGAAGAAUUCAUUUGGUAAGUGCCAACGGGUAUGAUGGCACAAAAGAGUAUAAAAGGAAGACGUUCCAGUUGUUUGAGGUGGUGCACGAUAGAAGAAUUCCAAAGUUUGAAGCUCUUUGAUUCUUAGUCAAUUCACUUACUAAGCGAAAUCUUGUACGUAAAAGAGAGUCUAUAUUUUGAGAUAUCUUGAGGAAGUGUGGUAGAAUAUCUACACUAUGGAAUCAAGGGAAAGCAUUGCUGUAACAUCUCUUUUGUUCAUAGUGAAAUCUAGCCGGUGGGUUGUCAGUGCAGAAGAGUGGACGUAGGCUUGGAAUAAGCCGAACCACUAUAAACCUUGUGUUCAAUUUUCUUUUCCCUACUCUCUACUUUACUUUGUUCAUAGUUCAUUUUGUUAACUAAAUGAGAGCUUCUUUCCUAUUGUUUGCCUAGUAUUGCUUUCAUAUCUCGAGAAAUUAUUUAAACACAUAUUUACCCCCCUCUAGGUGCUAUUACUAGCUAUAUCAAUUGGUAUCAGAGCUUGUGUACUCACUUUGUUUGAAGUGCUUUACUUCAGAGUUAAAGAUCUAUGGCUAGUAUGCUAGCUCCAGGGCUGGUGGAAGGGCAAAGCAAUACCAAACCACCUUACUUUGAUGGAAAUGAUUACAACAUCUGGAAAAACAAGAUGAAAGUGUUCCUACGAUCAAAGGAUCCUCUAGAAUGGGACGUUGUAGAAAAAGGAAUCACUCCUAAAGCUGCAUCUGUCUCAAAGAGAGGAAAAGAAAUUGUUGAGUCAAGUGAAAUGACUCAGGAAGAGAUAAUCAAGAGACAAGCUCUUAAUGCAAAAGCAAUUUAUUCUUUAUAUUGUGCUUUGUCACCUACUGAAUAUAACAGAAUAUCUUCGUGUGUUACAGCAAAAGAAGUUUGGGAUAGAUUACAUAUCACCUAUGAAGGAACUAAUCGAGUGAAAGAGACUAGAAUCAACAUUCUCCUCGGUCAAUAUGAAGCCUUCAAAAUGAAAUCAUGAUAAUCUAUAACUGACAUGUUUAGUCGUUUUACAGAAAUUAUGAAUGGUCUUGAAAAUCAAGGUCAACCAAUUUUUGAUCCCAUGAAGGUAAACAAGCUACUGCGUGGACUCUCCAAGGAUUGGAAUCACAUAAAGACCUCAAUAAGAGAGACAUAAAGAAUCAUACCACUAUCUGUCGAUGAGUUGGUUGGAACUCUUCAGUCUUAUGAAGUAGAACGAAUCAAUGAAGACGAAGAUCCUAAAGGUAAGAAAUCCAUUGCAUUAAAAUCCAAUGAUGAUUCUGAUGUCACAGAUUCUGAAGACGAUAUGGACGAUGAGGAACUUGCUCUCAUGAUAAGAAGAUUCAGAAAGCUAAACAGAAAAGGAAAAAGAUUCAAUCCAAAUAAACAGAGUUUUCAAAAGCAACAAACCAAGUCUGUUGAUGAUGAUGAAUCAAACAAAGAUGUAGUUUGCUUUGAAUGUAAGAAAAAUGGACAUAUCAGACCCAACUGUCCUCUUCUGAAAAAGAAGAAAGGAAAAACUGAAAAAUAUCGAAAUGCUCUUAAAGCAGAAACCUGGAGUGAUGCAGAGUGUGAAUAAAGUGAUGAUGGUUAUGCCAAUAUAUGUCUGAUGGCACAAUCGGAUUUAGAUUCAAACUCCGAGACAGACUCAGAUUCAAAUAGUGAAUUUGAAGUAAGUAACUUUAAAAUCCCUGUUAAAGUUUCUAAAUACAUUAAUGAGCUGUGUUUUAGUCUUAAGACUUCUUUUAAAAGGAUUUCCGAACUUAAAAAUGAAAACUCUUUACUAAAACGACAGGAAAAUAUUUUGAAAGAAAAAUUGAAAUGUUUAGACAUGAAUGUUUCUACUCUUAAAGAAAGCGAAGAUAAUCUCUUGAAAGAAAAUGCAUUUUUAAAAAAUGACUCAUCAAAUAUUUCAAAAAGAUUUUCAAUAGGAUAUGAGAAACUUGAAAAAAUUCUUUCAGCACAAAGACCUUAUUUCAAGAAAUCUGGUUUAGGAAUGACAGUAGAAACCAUUCAUUUAAUUGAUUUUCCUAAAGUAAAUAAAAGAAUUAAGAAAAGACCUCCAAAGAAAUUUUACAAAAAUCAUUUUCAAAAAGUGUUUGUAAAACCAGUAGGUUGAAAUGCUCUCAGAUGUUCAAAGUGCAAUAGUGCAGAUCAUUUUGAAAAAGAGUGUCCUAUAGUUUGGAAACCUGUUAAGAAAGUUUGGGCAAAAACCGCAUAUCAUACUAACACCAAUGGACCCAAGAAAAUAUGGGUACCAAAUAAAGCUUAAGUCUUUUUAAAUGCAGGUCACUAUCAAGAAAAAAAGUAAAUUGCUUCAUAAAGCUCGUUCAAGUAAAUAGUGGAAAAGUCUCAUUUGGAGGAAACAACAAAGGAUGAAUUGUGGGAUUAAACCUCACAAUAAACACAAUAAACAAUGUUUCCCUAGUGGAAGGAUUCAACUACAAUCUGCUCAGUAUCAGUCAGCUGUGUGAUACUGGUUUCAAAAUCAACUUUCAAGAGGGAAUAUAUUCAGGAACCAGUAAAGACUCUACUCAGUCAUUCAUGGGCCGAAGACAUGGAAAUAUCUACCUCUUGGAUGUGAAACCAGAUGAAUCGCAAUGCCUAAUCUCAAUUCAAGAUGAAGCGAGCUUAUGGCACAGAAAGCUUGGGCACAUCAAUAUGAAGCAGAUAGCCAAAAUUUCAGCAAAGAAACUUGUUCGUGGUCUACCCAAAUUAUCAUAUCAAAAGUCUGAUCUAUGUAUACCAUGCGUAUUGGGAAAGCAUGUAAGAAAUUCCUUUAAACCAAUAAAUCAAGUUUCCACUAAUUGUGUACUGCAGCUUCUGCAUAUGGAUCUCUUUGGACCAACUAGAUCUUAGAGCAUUGGAGGUAAGAAAUAUUGCCUAGUAAUUAUGGAUGAUUACUCACAAUGUACUUGGGUAUAUUUCCUGACAAGUAAGUUUGAAACAUUCUCUUACUUUGAAAAGUUUGCUAAAAAUGUUCAAAAUGAAAAAUGGUAUGUUAUCUCGAGUAUAAGAACAGACCAUGGAGGUGAAUUUGAAAAUCAAGAUUUUACAAAAUUCUGUGAUGAAUCUGGUUUUCAGCAUGUGUUCUCAUCUUCAUAUACUCCAAAGCAAAAUGGAGUUGUGGAAAGAAAGAAUAGAUCGCUUCAAGAAAUGGCUAGAACUCUUUUAAUUGAAAGUAACAUCUCUUUACGAUUUUGGGCUGAAGUAGUUUCAACAGCAUGUUACAUUAUCAAUAGAGUUUUUCUAAGGCUUAUUCUAGAAAAAAACCCCUAUGAGUUAUUCAAAGGAAAGAAGCAUAUUGUUUCAUAUUUUCAUGUGUUCAGAUGCAAAUGCUUUAUAUUGAAAAAUGCAAAUGAUAGAGUUGGCAAGUUUGAAGAAAAAUCAGACGAAGACAUCUUCCUUGGAUAUUCUACCUCAAGCAAAGCUUACAGAGCCUAUAACAAAAAGAGUCAAUCUGUGGAGGAAUCAAUGAAUGUCAAAUUCCAGGAUUCUAUGCAAAAUGAAUCUGCUCAGACUCAUCUUGAAGAAUUUGAACCUGCUCCAGACUCUACAAAGUCUAAAUCUCAAGAAGCAACUCAGACUUUGAAAGACCAGCAACAAAUGGUUAUUGAAGAUUUAAAUAAAGGAAGUGAUCAUCAACCUGACAAAUCAACCAGUAAUUGGAAGCAUAAGUCCAGUCAUCCCAAAGACCUCAUUAUUGGCGACAUUAAUGAAGGAAUUCGCACAAGAUCUAAAAGGCGCGAAGAGUCUAGUGCUGUGGCUCUUAUUUCUGAAAUAGAACCAAAAAGCAUAGAAGAAGCUUUAUCUGAUGAAAGCUGGAUUGAAGCUAUGCAAGAAGAACUCAGACAAUUCAGUAUCAAUGAUGUCUGGGAAUUGACUCAUAAACCAAAAGGUAAAUCUAUUAUCGGAGCUAAAUGGGUUUUCAGGAACAAGAUGAACGAAAAAGGUAAAGUCGUAAGAAACAAAGCAAGACUCGUGGCCAAUGGAUAUACGCAAGAAGAAGGAAUAGACUAUGACGAGACUUACGUACCAGUAGCAAGGUUAGAAGUAAUUCGAUUAUUACUUGCUUUUGCUUGUUAUAAGAAUUUCAGGUUAUUCCAAAUGGACGUCAAAAGUGCUUUCCUAAAUGGAUUUAUCCAUGAGGAAGUCUAUGUGGAACAACCACCUGGGUUUGAAGACCCAAGGAAGCCAGACUCAGUAUUCAAACUGAAAAAAAAACCUUGUAUGGAUUAAAACAAGUACCUCGAGCUUGGUACAAAAGGCUGAGUAAAUUUUUAAUUCAAAAUGGCUUUGAAAAAGGUAAAGUAGACACUACUCUGUUUAUCAAAAGAGAAAGCAAAAGUUUCUUGCUUGUUCAAAUAUAUGUUGAUGAUAUCAUUUUUGGAUCAUCUAAUGAAAGUUUGUGCAAAAAAUUCUCUAAGUCUAUGCAGGAUGAAUUUGAAAUGAGCAUGAUGGGUGAACUAACCUUCUUUGUUGGACUUCAAGUGAAAUAAUUGAAUGAAGGGACUUUUAUUCAUCAAGAAAAAUAAGCUAAUGAUCUUGUAAAAAAGUUUGGACUGGAAAAUUGCAAAAAGACUGAUAUAUCAAUGUCAAGUUCCUUAAAGAUAGACAAAGAUGAAGGAGGAAAGAAAGUUGACCAUAAGCUAUACAGGAGUAUCAUCGGUUCACUUCUUUAUCUUACUGCUUCUAGACCUAACAUUUUGUUUAGUGUUUGCAUUUGUGCCAGAUUUCAAACAGACCCUAAAGAAUCUCAUCUAAGUAUCGCAAAUCGUAUUAUCAAAUACAUUGCUUCAACUUCAAGCAUCGGCCUUUGGUAUCCUAAAAAGGGAGACUUUACUCUUCUUGGAUACUCAGACGCAGAUCUAGCCGGUUGCAGAGUUGAUAGAAAGAGCACCUCGGGUACCUGUCAGUUACUUGGAAGCAGGACAGUGUCUUGGUUUUCAAGGAAGCAAAAUACAGUAGCUCUUUCUAUAGCAGAAGUAGAGUAUGUAGCUUUCGAAAGUUGUUGUUCACAAAUUCUCUGGAUAAAACAACAGCUAAGAGAUUUUGGAAUUGAAGAUUCAUGCACGGAGAUUAACUGUGACAACACCAGUGCAAUCAAUCUUACCAAAAAUCCAAUUCUUCACUCAAGAGCAAAGCAUAUAGAAAUUCGACAUCACUUCAUUAGAGAUCAUGUUCAAAAUGGAGAAGUUUUGAUUCAGUUUGUUGACUCAAAGAACCAACUGGCGGAUAUAUUUACAAAGCCUUUGGAGAAAAAUCAAUUUGAAAUCAUCUAUUCCAGACUCAACAUCUUGAAGCUUGAAGAAGUUAAAGUCUAGAGACUCUCAGUCUCAGACAAUCAUGGUUCUUGACUGUAAGUUAUUUUAUUUUCUCUUAUAUUAAAUCUCGUAAAGGUACGAUCAUUUAUCCAUUCAUAAUUGAUUUAUGCUAUCUUCAAUUUCCAUGAAAAGUGCAAUUUUUUCCUUUUUAAAAAGAGUUAAUGGUAGUUAUCUAUUUUUGAAAAAGGCAGUUUUUUUUUAAAGGCAUCUUUUAACCUUCCUUUACGACGUUUAGCAUUUCCCCGUUUCGACUGAGCUAUAUACAGUCCGUUCCUCUUCACUUUACUCCAAAACCCUAAAAAGCAUCGAUCCUCCAUUCUUGUCUUCCUCCCUUGUUUAAUCUUUGAAAAAGUUGUCAUCUUUCUUGGGAAAGUCAAGCAAGGAAUCUUUCGAAGACUGAGAAAGAUGUCGUCUUCAAGAAAGUCUUCGAGAAUCGCAAGCAGGGGACCACGACGAAUGAGUGAGGGGCCUACUCAUUUUGAUCUCACCGAGGAAGAGGAGUCACCAAGUCAGCAGCAGAGCCCACAACAUUCUCAACAGCGUCAUUCUCCACCAUCUAGUCCACAGGAUGCUAGUCAUCAACAAGAGGAAGAAAUCAUUGAAGACGCAGAUCCUGUAAGAGUUCAAAAGCCCUCUUUUAUUUAUAAGCUUUACCGUGCUUUAAAGAGCAUUGGUACUCCAUUGAACUACAUCGAUGAGUUUCUUAAGGACAAGGGAUAUGAGAAUGAGUACAUUUUUUUGCGAAAAAUGGAGAGUUUGGAAAUUGCUCCUAAUGGGUUGGUAGAAAAAACCCUUGCAAAUAUCCCAAGUGAUCCGCGUGUUGGGGGAUUUAAUCCGAUAGAUGGGAAUGAUGAUGAUAGAUUGUGCAAAGAAUUUCAACCGAGAAUGGGUGUUGCGGCGAAAAUUCGAGGAAAAAGAACAGAGUUGUUUAGAUCGAAGGAACAUAAGGAUCUAUACUCCAAAUUGUUGAAGCGUGGGGUGAUAAACCCUAGGAGUGUGGAUUUUGAUUUCUUUGAUGCUGUGAAUGUCAAUUUGAGGGAAAAGUUCAGUUUUCUUCAACUUGAACAAUUCUGUUCUGACACCACAGAAGCUUAUGCUCAAUUAACUGCAUAUUUCUAUUCAAAUCUUAGUUUCUUGUAUGCGAAUAGAAUCUCUUUCAGUGUCCGAAAUCAGGACUUUGUAGUGGAUGUGGAUAUGUUGGCGGAUGUGAUUGGGGUUGAGAGAGGGAGAUAUCAACCCAUCAGUGUUUCUAUAGCUCGUGCCACAUUGGAACUUGUUAAAAAUAGAAGGACAGAGGGAAGGAUUUCCUACUCAAGGAUGAGUGCGUUCAACAUUCUGCUUCACAAGAUUGUGAUUAAUUGUCUCAGAUCGAAAUCAACUUCCAAGACUGAUGUUUCUAACUCAGAGGCAAAGCUUAUGUACGCCAUCAAUGCUGGGAAAAAGUAUUCUCUUCCUCACACUAUUCUGUUCCACAUGUAUAGAGCAGUGGUGAAGGACAAGGGCCAACUUCCUUAUCCAGGUCUUGUGUCAAAGAUAUUCAGACAUUUGAAUAUUCAGCCUCCACAAAUUCUCUGUGUUCGACCAUGUGACAAAAUGGUGGUAGGACUGAAAAUGGUGUCCAAAAUGCGUCUAAAAGAACUCGACAAGGCAUUGGAGAAAUUUAAGGAGAAAACCCCUAUCAAAUUUCAUCAAGUCUCUUCUGCAGCGAAAAGAAAAAGGGAAGGAAAGUCGAGGCAUUUCAAAUUGUUUGUUGACACGGACAAAGUCAGCGAAAACCUCUGAAAUUAUUUCAAUAUUGGAAGCCCAUGGUUGCUCCAUCCAAAAAGAGAAAAGCUCUCAUUACUGAUGAAGAUGAUGAGGAUGACUUCACAAUUUCUGCUAUAGCAUUGAAGAAGCUGAGUCAUUCUGUUCCAGAAUCAAUGGAACGACAGGAGAAAGAAGCAGAGGAGAGAGAAGAAUAGGAGAAAAAAGAAGAAACAGAAACAAAUGAGAAAGAAGCAGAGGAGAAGGAAGAAGAGGAGAGAGAAGCUAAGAAAGAGAAGCAGAGAAGGAAAGGUUUGAAGAAGAAGAAGACAGAGAAAAUCAACAGGAAUGAGAGCAUGAGGAACUCUCUUCUCCACCUGAAGCCAUGGAAACAGGGGGAGAUGGUGAGAAUAGAGGAAUGUCCUCAUAUCCUGUUAACAGUGAAGGAGUCAGCCGCUCUCCGGUAGAUCCAGAGGACAUUCAUGCCUCUCAAUUUCUUGAGGAGGGACAUAAUGCUUCAUCGCCAAAUCUGUGUGAUUAUGCUGAUAUACCAUCAUUUUCCUUUACUCCAUCAAAUCGUGCCGAAGCUAGUACGCAGAUUGAUAACUCAGUAGAUUUUCACAAAAUCGUUGCUGUUCUCUUGGAAAUGCGGGGUCAAAUAUAUGCUUCGGAAAGCGAAGUUUAGAACUUGAAGAAUGCAGGACAAGCUUCUUCCGUUUCAUUAUCUGAUCAGAUCCAAGCCCUUGCUCUUCAGAUUCAAGCCAAUGCUAAAGGUGAAGAGGUGGAUCAACUGAAGGAAGAAUUGAAAAAGCUGUAAUGCAUCAUCCAGUUCAUGAGAGAUUUUCAGCUUGUUCGCAUUCCCAAGCAAACUUGACUCUAUUUUAUUUCCGUCUCAACCUUUUUUAUGAUGACAAAAAGGGGGAGAGAUUUGAGAUUUGAAAUCUUUGAACUUAAACUUGUUGAAUUUUUAGUUUGUUUUGAUAUGUGUCUGUGUUUGGUUGAGGAUUGACUGAAUGUGGAUUUGGAUUUGACUGCUACUUAUAUUAAGUACUAUUGAUAUCUUAUGAAUGGCUUUACUCUUAUGCAAGACUAACCUAUUUUCUCUGGUUGCAUAUUCUAGUAUUAUCAUUAAGCCAUUAAUUUUUAUGAGAUAUCCAUAUUUGCUUGAGUAAUGUUUUGCAGGUCAAGGUUAUUCAAAUCUGUAGGAAAGUUUUGUCACCAUAAAAAAAGGGGGAGAUUGUUGGAGAAAUCAUUCUGUAAUAUUUUGAAGCUGACAAAACGUUUCUAUCAGUCUAGUCUGAAGUUUAGCAAACUCUACUAUUAAAGUCUGAAGACCUCCGGACUAUCAGACUCAAGACUCAAAGUCUAUUCCCUUUGACAAUUUCUAAUCCGUUGAAGAAAAGCUAUCCAGAAUUGCUUCAUUAAGGAUUUGACCUUAUCAACUAGAGAAGAUCUCUUGGCUGGAUAUGACAUAACGGAUUCCUUUAUUCAAAUCAAGAAUGAUUAAAGAUCCGAUGAUUUGCGAAGUAUUCUUGGAAGGUUCUACUUAUGGAAACCAAGAUCUUGAUUGUAUGGGCGAGCAGAAUUGAUGGGCUAUCAACAUGUUCCUUUAAUAGCUCGAAUAAUCUUCCUAAUUGAUUCUGUCCAACGGGAGGAUUGGAAAAAUUCCUUUGGUAAGUGUCAACGGGUAUGAUGGCACAAAGGAGUAUAAAAGGAAGACGUUCUAGUUGUUCGAGGUGGUGCACGAUAGAAGAAUUCCAAAGUCUGAAACUCUUUGAUUCUUAGUCAAUUCACUUACUGAGCGAAAUCUUGUACGCAAAAGAGAGUCUAUAUUUUGAGAUACCUUGAGGAAGUAUGGUAGAAUAUCUACACUGUGGAAUCAAGGGAAAGCGUUGCUGUAACAUCUCUUUUGUUCAUAGUGAAAUCCAGCCGGUGGACUGUUAGUGCAGAAGAGUGGACGUAGGCUUGGAAUAAGCUGAACCACUAUAAACCUUGUGUUCAAUUUUCUCUUCCCUACUCUCUGCUUUACUUUGUUCAUAGUUCGUUUUGUUAACUAAAGGAGAGCUUCAUUUCUAUUGUUUGCCUAGUAUUGCUUUCAUAUCUCGAGAAAUUAUUUAAACACAUAUUCACCCCCCUCUAGGUGCUAUUACUAGCUAUAUCAAAAUGAACAUAGCCACUUUAUGUCCUUAUUUGAGAAAGUGAUAGCAUUUCAAGUCUUUUUUAAAUGAAACCCAUUUUGGAUAUUUAUUUGAGAAAAUGAGGGCAUUUUAGGUCUUUUUUUUUGCAAUUUUCUCUCUUUUCUUUUAAAUUGCACUCUAAAAAGAGAGAACCUUUGUGAGCCAGAUGAAAUAAUAACUUGAUUUUUUCUAAUGCGAAAAAGUAAUAUGUUUGAAAUUUUCAUGCUAAAUUUUUUGGAUUUUUGUGGUGUUAUCUAUUACGUGUACUUGAAUAAUUUAGGAAUUCCUUGAUGCCCCUGUAGGCAUUCACAAUUCAUAAGGUAACUUGUGGCAAUUCGAUCCACAUUGUGUUCGCUUUGUUUUCAUGACGAGAACCAAUUUGAUCAUUGUUACAUGCAUUGUUUUGUGUGUUUUUAGGGGAAGUAAUGUUGAUGGAAUUAUAAAAUUAUAUUUAAUGGUUGAUUGUGCUUUAGCCUGACUAUUAAAAAUAGUUUUGCAAGUUCAUCGCUUUUCUAUGUGGAUGUGGGUAGACGAAAUGUACGUGCAAACUGUUUGAUUAUGGAUCAUGUUUGAUCACAAUGACUAUGCUUAUUAUGAAAGUUUGUUGCUUGUUCAUAUGGAUUGUGCUGAUAGAAUCAUAAUUCAUUAAAAAUGGUGGAUUUCUGACUGUUAUGCUGAUUGUGAAAGCUCACUACUUGUAUAGUAUGCUAGAUUAGUAACCAGUCAAAUACCAAUUAAAAGAAAAAGAAAAACUAGAACAAAUUUUAGUGAACUAUUGAAGCAAUAAGUAGUUUUGAUUAGACAAUUACCGAGGGCUUUUGGUAGACUUCUUUUGUUUCCGACUUCACUUGCGACAAGUCAUCGCAUUAGUAUGAGUUCAUUGACCAUGUGAGGGCAAUCCACCUCAAUGAUGAAUUCAACUCGCUAAUUUAUCUAGUUAUCUCAUUGGUGGAAUUUGAAUCACAUUCUUCUUAGUAAGGCCACAAGGUCUAGAUCAACCUUGUGCUGAUCGGGGUUUUAUAUGCCCAGGCGUUGAUACCUAUCGAUGUCCUAAACCAAUUAAAACCAUCAGGAAUGAAAUAAAAUGUGAAUAAUAGAGUCCGAGUUCAACCUCAUGGUCAGUGGAAGAAAAAGAAGGCUAGGGAGGAAGAAUUUACAUUCCAUUCUCACAUCCUCUUCCUCUAUGGUGACCAGGGGGUCUUAUAGAUCCAACUAAGACAAUGGAAUCUUCUUUUGUGAUCAUACUUUUAUCUUGGUUAGUAGUCCAAUCCUUGGCUCAACUCAAUGGCACUUUUACGCAGGGUUGGUGCCACUAGAUUGGCAUGGAUGAAUAUCAUUUCAUUGUUUACGUGGAUGUAUACGAAUGAAAUUAUAAUUUAUUAAAAACGGUGGUUCGUGCUUUGUCCUUACUAUUAUUCUUGUUUCUCAAAUUUGUCACUUGUACAAGUGAAAUUAGUUAAUAAAGGUUGCCCUACUUCAUUCCGACCAACAUGUUUUGGAAGUUCGUCGUGUGUUUACAUGGAUUUACAUCAUUUGAUCAUAUCCCAUUUGGUCAUCUGGACAUUAUUUGGUUGUAUCUAGAGUAUUUGCAUUUUAGAAUAAUUACAAAUAUGUAUCUAGAGUAUUUGCUGAUAUUUUAAUUUGACAUUAAGUCAUUUUGACUUUACAAAGGAGGUAUUACAUAAGGAAAGAAGAAUUGGCCAUAUCUAAAGUAGGUAUAGACCAAACCCCCAAGAGAUGGAAUGCAACUAGAAUUUCCACACUUGCAAUUGUGAGAGUGUGGCUGAUGUCCAUUGCGCUACGGCCCCUCCUCCUCCUAUCAAGAUGCAACUAAGUUUAAAUACUUAGUAAACAAGCAACUUCCUUGCCGUAGUCUAAACCCAAUGUUGCUAUUAAGAUUCCCCCUCCACCAAUAGAUGGCAAUGAUUCAUCUAAUUGAAAGUUUUUCUUCAUGAUAGAAUGAGAAAUAAUGUGUACGCCUGAGUUGGAGGGCAGACUUGUGCCCCCUAUGCAGGUUCGACAGGAUUCUCUGGUAUUCACUUGCCACAUAAGCUCACUCCAUCAUAUAGCACAUUAACCAAAUUUGCGAUUGAUAAUAGAGCACCUACACCCCCGUCAUAUUCUCCUCUCCUAGGUAUGUUUGUGCUUAUAGUUUAGCAUUAGAAGUUGGGCCAUGAAGAAGCAACUGCAGUUAGAGAGAAGCGCUCAAAUAUGAUUCACAUGUCUAAGAAACCUCCUGAUGAUUCAGUGGGCACGUCUUCUCAUGUCAAUUCUCUAGAAAUUGCAUGGAUUACCAAAAGGCGGGUUGGUGAAGGUGGUAUAAAUAAGAGGGUCAGAAGCCUUGCAGCAUCUGUAGAUAGAAGAGGUGUUGGUAGAGGAAAUUUGUCUAGAUCUCAAAAAGUCCAAUCGGAGAAUAAGAGAAGGGUUAAUUUUGAUGUGAUUAAUCAAUUCAACAAUUUGAGGGAUCUAUCUCAGAUAGAAAGAAGGAAGAUGCUAAUAUAUAAGGUAAAGAAGAAACUUUUAAGAAGCUUAAUGAGUGGAGUAGUGAGAAAGAACCUGCAAAUAUACUAAGUUGUUCGUGUUGAGAAAACUUCUAUUAGAUUUUGAAGUUGACAAAACUUUUCUAUAUUUAUCUUUUUUAUUUUGAGGAAUACAAGACUUCUGUGGAAUUCUUUCAAAGUCUAUUUUACAUUAAAAGUCUGCCCCACUCUGACGAAGACUCAGACUAAACUCAAGUGAAGAACGAAGACAUAAUCAGACUUAGGAUUAUUAUUCUUCCUUCAAUGAUUCGAUACAAAAAAGAUUUAUCUGGAUUUCUAGUUGAAAAUUUCACUUACCUUUUUUGAAUAUUAUUGAUGAAAUCAAUCUCGGAACGGUAAAAUCAAUUUGGAAGGCAAGUUUAUUUGGAAAGAAUCUACUUAUAGAAAUCAAGAUCCUGAUUGUAUGGGCGACCAAGAUCAUCGGAAUUUCAUCUCAAUCUUCAAAUGGCUCAAGAUCUCUUUGAUUGAUUCUGUCCAACGGGUUGAUUAGAAGAAUUCUUUUGGAAAGUGCCAACGGUCACAAAGGUAUGGAAGAGUAUUUAAGGAGGUUUUUUGAGUCAUUCGAUAGAAAGCAUGAAAACUAGAAUUCCAAAGUCUGAAGCUUCUCAAAUCACUUGUUCUUCCUCAAUAGUGCUCAAACGUGUAUUCAAAAGAAAGAAAAACACUAAGGAGUGACUUAGUGAGAGGAGUAGAAACUUUUCACUGAGUAGUCAGUGUAUAAGGCUAUAAUUCUCUUUCAAUUCAUAGUGAAAUCCAACCAAAAGGCUGUCAGCGUGGAAAGUGGAUGUAGGCUUAAUCUAAGCCGAACCACUAUAAAUCUUGUAUUCAUUUUCUUUUCCCUAAACUCUUUUAAUUUAUUUGAUGUGAUACUUUUCUGAGUUUCGCUAUAGUUGUUUUAACAUUAUCUUACUUGAGUCUGAAUCUUUAUUCAAAGUCUAUUGUUUGACAGACUCAGUUUAAAAGAAAAUCAUUUUCACUGCAUCUCUUCAAAAUCUGUUUUUACACCUAUUCACCCCACUCUAGGUGUUUAUACUAACUAUUUCAAUCGGUAUCAGAGUUUUGUGUGCUUACUUUAUUGAAGUGUUUUUACUUUUAAGCUAAAGAUCUUCUAUGGCUAGUAUUUUGGCUUCAGGAUUGGUUGAAGGACAGAGCAAUAUCAUACCUCUUUAUUUCAAUGAAAAUGAGUAUAAUGUGUGGAAGAACGAAAUGAAAGCAUUCCUCAGAUCCAGCGAUCCUUUGGAGUGGGAUGUUGUCGAAAGAGAAAUCAAUUCAAAGGCAACAUCAGCUUCAGAGAAAGGGAAAGAAAUGAUGGACAAAGAUGCUGAUGAAUCCACAUGAACUGAAAUUACCAAGAGACAAGCUCUUGAUGCAAAAUUAAUUUAUUCAUUAUAUUGUGCCUUAUCUCCAACUGAAUACAACCGAAUAUCCUCCUAUGAACGCAAAAGAAGUUUGGGAUAAAUUGCAUGUCGCUUAUGAGGGGACUGAUUGUGUGAAGGAGACAAAGAUAAAUAUUCUACUUAGACAAUAUGAAUCCUUCAUAAUGAAGCCUGAAGAAUCUAUUUGUGAUAUGUUCAAUCGCUUUAUAGAAAUUGUGAAUAGCAUAGCUUAUCAAGGUCAACCAAUUUCUAGACCAAUGAAAGUUACCAAACUACUGCAUGGACUUUCAAAUGACUAGAAUCAUGUGAAGACUUCAAUCAGAGAAACUCAAAGGAUCAUGCCCCUGUCAGUUGACGAAUUAAUAGGCACGCUUCAAUCGUACGAAGUGGAGUAGAUCAAUGAUGAGGAAGAUCCAAAAGGUAAGAAAUCAAUGCGAGGGAUGAUCAAAAAUCGAGAGCUAUGAUUCAAAAUUAUUUUGAUUCAUCCCCCCAUGAGGAAGUGCCAAAAAAUUUGACUCAUUAAAGUCUAAUAUUGAUUAUGAAGAUGCAAAUUCGGAUGAUGAUAUGGAAGAUGAGGAGCUGGCCCUUAUGAUAAAGAAAUUCAAAAAACCGAAUAGAAAUGGAAGAAGGUUAAAUUGGAAGAAGCAAAGCAUGCAUAAUUCCCAGAAGAAACCAACGAAAGACAAUGAAACAAGCAAGAACGUAAUAUGCUUUGAGUGCAAGAAAAAUGGGCAUAUCAGACCGAAUUGUCCCUUGUUGAAAAAGAAGAAAUGGAAGUCUGAAAAGUACAAGAAAGCUCUUAAAGCAGAAACCUAGAAUGACACCGAAUGUGAAGAAAGUGAAGAGGAAUUUGCAAACAUAUAUCUGAUAGCUCACUUAGAGUCAGACUCGAAAUUAGAAAUAGACACUUAUUCAGAUUUUGACAAAGAUUUCGAGGUUAAUCACUCAGAAAUUCCUGUUAAAGUCUCUAUGUAUAUAGAUGAACUUUGCCUCAAUCUUACAUCCUCUCUUAAAAAGAUUUCCGAACAGAAAAAGGAAAAUUCUAAGUUGAGGCAAUAGGAAGUUUCUUGGAAAAAAAAAGUUUGAAAGUCUGAAAAGAAGUUUUGAUGAUUUGAAAGAAAAUUCUGAUUCUCUUUCAAAAGAAAAUGUUGACUUAAAAAGAGAGAUUUCAGAUAUUUCAAAAAUAUUUUCCAAAGGAUCAAAAAAAUUGGAGAAAAUUCUUACAACUCAAAUACCCUAUUUUAACAAAUCAGGUUUGGGUAUGAAUAAUAAAACUAUUCCUCUAAUUGAUUUUCCUAAAUUAAAAGAGAGACUUAGGCUCCAUUCGUUUCGCAAAAAUUGUGGCGUUUCUAGAAAAUAUUUUCUAGAAAGUCAUUUUUCAGGAAAAUGUAAUUAUUUUCCAAUGUUCGAAUAAAACCUGAAAAUAAAGUGAAAAAUAUUUUUUGCUGUUGGUAAGGAAAAUCUUUACCUCCACAUACUCUUUUUCAUUUAUUUUAUUUUUUAAAAUGGAUUUUCCAUAUUUUUUAAAAAUUGAUUUUAAUUAUUUUUAAUUUUUAAAAUCUAUUAUUAAUUUUUUUUUCAUUUUAAUUUUUCUUUUCUUUUUUCUUUUUUUUCCAUCUCCUUCUUUCUUGGUCAUUCGCCGGCCACGGCGAUGGCUCGCGACCAGCCAUUGGCAAGCGUCAAGCAAGGCUCAUCGCUCACCAGAUCGACGAGCGUGAGCAUCGAGCUAAAGGCUCGCUAGACUAAUGAGCGCGAGCUUAAGAUUGACGAGCUCGAAGUUCACCUGGCGACGGCCAACAACUAGCCAAGAAAGAAGAAGAUGGGAAACAAAGAAAAUAAAUAGAAAAGAAAUAAAAAAAGGAAAAGGAAAUUAAAAAUAAUUCGAAUUUAAAAAAAUAAAAUUAAAAAUAAUUUGAAUAAAAAAUAAAUAAAAAAAUAAGAAGAAAGGGGAGGAGGAAGUGAGGAUUUGUAGAUGUGUGAGAAAAGAGAGAUCAAGUAAGAAAAAUAUUUUUCACUUUUCAAAAGUGGAAAGGAAAAUGUUUUCCACUUUUCAAAAGUGGAAAACAUUUUCUCCUAAUUUAGAAGAUUUUUCUUCCUUUCAUGGAAAGCAUUUUCCACAAGGAAUUCAUUUUCUGUGAAACAAACAUCGGAAAAUCUGGAAUACGUUUUUCCAAAAAUUAUUUUUCGCAAAACGAACGGAGCCUUAAACAAAAACUUGCAAAGGCAUUUUAUAAAAAUCAUUUUCAAAAAGUGUUUGUAAAACUUGUUAGUCGAAGUGCUCUCAAAUGUUUUAAGUGUAACACCUCAUAACAUUUUGAAAAUGAAUGUCCCAAAGUUUAGAAACAAGUUAAGAAGGAUUGGGCAAAGAUUGUUUUUAACACUAACUCUUCUAGACCCAAAAAAAUCUGGAUACCAAAGAAAACUUGAGUUAUUUCUUUGAUUCCAGGUCACUAUUAAAAGAAAAAUCAAAUAGUAUUUGGAUAGUGGCUAUUCUAGACAUAUGACAAAAGACUAAAAUUGCUUCGUGAAGCUUGAAAAACUAAAAUGAGGAAAUGUUUCUUUUGGUGAAAACAGUAAAAGGAAAAUUAUAAGAUAUGGAACAGUGAAGAUUGGAAGUCUAACUAUCAACAAUGUUUCCCUAAUGAAAAGAUUAAACUACAAUCUUCUAAGUAUAAGUUAGCUUUGUGAUACAGGUUUCAAAAUAAACUUUCAAGAAGGAAUUUGUUCUGAAGUAAGUCAAGAUUUCUCUCAAUCCUUUACUAGGCGAAGGUAUGGCAAUAUCUAUCUUCUGGAUGUAAAUCUAGAAAAUUCUCAAUGCCUCAUCUCAUUACAAGAUGAAGCAAGUCUCUGGCAUCAAAAGCUUGGUCAUGUAAAUAUGAAACAGAUUGCCAAAAUUUCUUCCAAGAGGUUGGUUCGAAAGCUUCCUAAUUUGGCUUAUUAGAAGUCUGAGUUGUGCACUCCUUGUAUCUUGGGAAAACAGGUCAUAAAUUCUUUUAAACCGGUAAAUCAGGUUUCUACCAGUCGUAUUUGCAACUUCUCCAUAUGAAUCUUUUUGGACCAACAAGAAUUCAGAGUAUUGGUGGAAAAAAAUAUUGUCUAGUAAUUGUGGAUGAUUAUUUAUGUUUUACUUGGGUAUUUUUUUUUGGCAAGUAAGUCUGAAAUUCUUUCCUAUUUUUCAAAGUUUGCCAAGAAAGUUCAAAACGAGAAAGGUUAUGCUAUUUCAAGCAUAAGAACAAAUCAUGGAGAUGAGUUUGAAAAUUAGGAUUUUGCAAACUUCUGUGAUAAAUCUGGUUUUCAACAUGUUUUUUCUUUUCCAUAUACUCUAGAACAAAAUUAAAUUGUGGGAAAGGAAAAAUAGAUCUUUAUAAGAGAUGGCCAGAACUCUAUUGAAAGAGAGCAAAAUAUCUUCUUGAUUUUGGACAGAAGCAGUUUCUACUAUUAUACAAUCAUCAUGGUGUUUUUAGGGCCAUCUUAGAGAAGACUCCCUAUGAAGUAUAUAAAGGGAAGAAGCCUAAUAUCUCUUACUUCCAUGUUUUUAGCUGUAAGUGCUUUAUCUUGAAGAAUGCAAAUGAUCGAUCUGGAAAGUUCCAAGAAAAAUCGGGUGAAUGAAUUUUUCUUGGAUAUUCAAUGUCAAGCAAAGCUUAUAGGGUUUUUAACAAGAAGACUCGGUCUAUAGAAGAAUUGUUGACACCUAAAUUUUUGGUGGCUCGGUUAUUUAUUUUUUACAUAAAAAUUAGGAUUAAUUUUACCCCUAAAAAAAUAGAAUUAAAAUUGCAUAGCAUAUAAUUUUAGUUACACUUAUUUAUUUUUGCAUUUGAUCAACAUUGAAUGAGCUUCAAUUUCACGAGUUCACAAUUUAGUAUUUUCGGAAAGGAUUCAUAUUAUUCUUCUAAUAUUCGGUAAAUAUUUCAUAUAUUCAUGUGAUUUAUAUAUUAUGCGAUAUAUUUUAAUGAAGAUUGGAAGUUUAAGCAUGAAAUAUCAAGAAGGAAUAUGGCACGUGGGGCAUGUAUGGAGUAAUAUAUUAUUUAACUCAAAAUAAGAAAGAUUAAAUGAUCAAAGGGGAUUCUGUGCGUGAGCUAAAAAAGAAAGAAAAAAUUGCUAAGCUUGAGUACCUUCCUAUAAAAGGGACUCACCACACGACGAAACAAAAGGAGGCCACACGUAUUGAAUACACGGCCAUUGAGAGAAAAACGUGAGUGAGGGCGAGACUUAGAUUGAAAGAGAGACUUCUUUACGUUUUUGGGUCAAUAGGUCAACAAAGGGAUGGGGUUUCCUCUGACAAGGUGCAUACAGAGAGCACGUGAAAGAAGGAAAAACUAAAAAAAAAGGUGGGGUUGUCUUCUUCCAGUGGGGGUCUUCAAGCAUGAAGUUCGGCGCAUGCAAUUUCGACGCCCGCAGCUGCCGAUCCAUCGUUGACCGCCACUGUCGCUGCCUUGCCUCGAGAUCAGGAGCGGAGCACCACCCUCGCCAUUGACCCUUGGGCCGUGACCAUCGAUAUCGUUGUGAGUCCCUGCGAGUCCACCGACCCGACGGUCCCUCCACUACUUCGUCCUCUAUCUCUGCAGUCUCGUCCGCGAGCAUCAUCGUGGAAGCCAUUGAGCUGGGUCCUCACGGCCCAAUUACAGCAAGAAUUCCACCAGUGACCACAAGGCAGCUUAGCCGAGACGUUCAUUGGGCAGCAUUGACGUCUUUAGUCCACCAAUACCAAGGAGGACAAGUUCAUGGCAGCUUAUCCGUACUCACGGCUAGAGAUGAGUUUAAUUUUGUAGGCUUUCCAAGCGAGCUCGUUGACCACCGAAGCAAGGAUCCGCUGGUGAUCUCUCUCCCAUCACUGAAAGUCGUCCUCGAGCACCAUUGUGAACACCCAUCCUCACCACGCCAUCAACCGAGGCUAAGCACCACCAUGCACCGCCGGUCACCCUUUGAGCGGAUUCCACUCGGUCCAAAUUUAGUAAUAUCAUUUGUAGAAUUAGGUAAUUAUCAUAUCUAAAUUUGAUUUAGAUAUUUUAUUGCCUAAAACAUGCUUUUCAAUAUCUUAUGUGUAUAUUUGAAUUAUCUGUGUAUUCCCAAUUAUGAUUUAUUGUCCAAUCCGCAACCACACGCCAAAUUUUUAUUUCAUUUAUAAGGCUUUAGAUGGAAUAAUUAAUCACGCGAGAAUAAAGUUGAUAUCUUGAUCUUUAAGACUUAAAAUCAAUUUAUCGAUUUUAUUAGCAAAAUAAUCAAGUUUGAUUAGAUAUCAUUUCCAAAUUCGAACGAUGGAUAAUAUCUUUAAUAAUUGUGAAUGAUUUGGUGUUUAUCUUUUAAUUGAUUUAUUUAUCCCAAAAAUGCAAAAAAAAAAAAAAGAUUGCAUUUGCAUAUCAUGUAGAUUGGAAUUGAUUUCCUAGAUAGAAUUGCAUGAUAAAAUAGUUAGAUUUUUCUUUAAAUGUAUGUUUAGAUGGUAUCUAGGUUAGAUAAUUUCUUUAAAUCAAAUUGCAUGUUGAGAUAAAUUUCUAAGCUAAGAUAGGAUUCGGAUUAGUCUAUUUCCUAACUUAAAAUGGAUAAUAUAUCACUUUAGUUAGAUUUUUAUUUUAGCAAUUUUUAAUUUAGUAUUUAAUAAAAAUACAAAAAAUUAUGCGCAUGUCAUAUAGAAUUAGGUUCAUGAAAUGCAUAUUUAGUGAUUGUUGUUGGGUCAAUUCAAUUAGAAAUUGGCCGUCAUUAGAAUUAGGUCAUUUGAUCAAAUUGCAUUGCACAUUAGCUUAGAUUUCAUUGAACAAGAUAAAAUCCUAAAAAAUUGAGUCACUACGUGUUAAUUAGAAAUGUUAUCUAGGGUUGUUGAUAUGAAUUUCAAGCUAACACUACAGAUGCUUUCGUUGCUACGAGGUAAGUCUUGCAAUUUAUUCACUGCUUUAUCUGGGUGUUGAAUUGGUGGUUUGUGUACUCACAUGAUCACCUCACAUGUUAGAGAAGCAAAUUAAAAUCAAUUCAAGUUGCCUGCAAAAUAUUUUUUCAAAAUAAAAAAGAAAUGUACCGAAAGGGCGUUAGAGAAAUCUAACGUAAUCAAGUCUCCAAACUCACAAUCUCUAGUUCGCAUGAGUAAAGUAAAUCUCUCGUUAUUUUACUUGGGUUUCUAAUCAAUCCACAAAAAAUAAAUUAGUGGCGACUCCUAAUUUAAAAAUCAUUUGCACAUUAAGAAGUUGAACCUAAGUUGCGAAUUGGUAUGUGCUUGAGAGAGCCCGAGCUAAGUUUAGACUUAGUAGUCUAUUAGCCUAAUUCUAAGUGGUAUAGCAGCAAGCAGAACUAGAAGAAUCAAAGGAAACAGAUGAUCAACAGAAUGUCAAAACAAAUGGCAAUUGGAAGCAUAAAUCAAGUCAUCACAAAGAACUCAUUAUUGGCAAAUUAGAUGAAGGAAUCCGCACCAGAUCCAAAGGAAAAGAAAAAUCCACCAAUAGCACUUAUUUCUGAAAUAGAACCAAAAGAAGUAGAAGAAGAAUCGUUUGACAAAAGCUAGAUAGGAAUUAUGCAGGAAGAACUCAGAUAGCAUUAAUGAUGUAUGAGAGCCGAUUCCUAAGCCAAAAGGCAAAUCUGUAAUUGGAAAAAAGUGGGUAUUUAGAAACAAGAUAGAUGAAAAAGGUAAAGUAAUCAGAAACAAAGCAAGGCUUGUGGCAAAAGGAUACACACAAGAAGAAGAGAUAGACUACAAUGAGACUUAUGCACCUGUAGCAAGGUUAGAAGCAAUUAGAUUAUUACUUGCUUUUGCCUGUUUUCAAAAUUUCAGAUUAUUCCAAAUGGAUGUCUAAAACGCUUUCCUCAAUGGACUCAUACAAGCAGAAAUCUAUGUGGAAUAAUUACCAGGAUUUGAAGAUCUAAGAAAACCAAACUCUGUCUACAGACUAAAGAAGGCAUUGUAUGGUCAAGCACCUUGAGCUUAGUAUGAAAGGUUGAGUAAGUUUUUAACAGAUAAUGGCUUUGAGAAAUGAAAAGUUGAUACAACUUUGUUUAUAAAAAGAGAAGAAAAAGAUUUUUUGCUCAUACAAAUUUAUGUUGAUGAUAUAGUCUUUGGAUCUCCUAAUGAAAAUCUUUGCAAGAAAUUUUCAAAAUCUAUGCAGGAAGAAUUUGAAAUGAACAUGAUGGGUGAAUUGACAUUCUUUCUGAGAUUGCAAGUUAGACAAUCAAAGGAAUGAAUAUUCAUUCAUCAGGAGAAAUAUGCGAAAGAUAUUAUCAAGAAGUUUGGAAUGGAGAAUUGCAAGAAAACAGAAACUCUCAUGGCAAGCUCAUCAAAACUCGACAAUGAUGAAGGAGGAAAGAAAGUAGAUCAAAAGCUAUACAGAAGCAUGAUUGGUUCUCUUCUUUAUCUCACUGUCUCUAGACCUGACAUUCUAUUUAGUGUGUGUAUCUGUGCUAGAUUUCAAUCAGAUCCAAAUGAAUCACAUCUAAGUGUUGUUAAACGCAUCAUCAAAUAUAUUGUGACUUUUCCAAAGUUAGGUCUGUGGUAUCCAAAAAAAUGAGACUUUACUUUACUUUGUUAUCCCGAUGCUGAUCUAGCCAGUUGUAGAGUCGACAAAAAGAGUACAUUUGGUACAUGUCAAUUGUUGGGACAAAUGCUGAUAUCAUGGUUCUCAAGAAAACAAAGUACAGUGGCACUAUCUACAAUAGAAGCAGAAUAUGUUGCUCUUGAAAGUUACUGCUCACAAAUUAUGUGCAUUAGACAACAACUAAGAGAUUUCGGCAUAGAAGAAUCCUGCACAAAAAUUAGAUGCAACAAUACAAGUGCUAUCAACCUUACCAGAAAUCCAAUUCUUCACUCAAGAGCAAAGCAUAUCAAGAUUCGUCACCAUUUUAUAAGAGAUCAUGUACAAAAUGGCGAGAUUAAUGUUCAAUUUAUCGAUUCAAAGAAUCAACUGGCAGAUAUCUUUACAAAACCAUUGGAAAAAAGCUUAUUUGAAUCAAUUCGUAGCAAGCUGAAUAUCAUCUCUCCUCUCGACUAAAGUUUACGGUUGAUCAGACUCAACAUUUCAAUUUAAGGAAGUUACUUCAGUAUGGAAAUCUCUACAAUCCAAGUAUUUUAUUUUUGGCAUGUAAAAAAUGAAUAGGUAUGAUUAUCUCUGAAUCAUUACUUGUCUCUUCUUUUUUUUUUUUAGAAAUUACAAUUUUAUUGCUGAUUUUUCGUAUUACAUUUCAAAUUUUUGACAGUUACCUUUUUAAAUUGUUUUCCAAAAAGGCAUUUUUCUUUGUGACAAUUCGUUUGCCCCAUUUCAAUUUCUUUAAAUCCUUUAGACUAUUUCCUUCGAGCAUAGUGUCUUCAAAACCCUAAUUCUUGAACUCUUUCUCUCUCGACUUUUCUCACAAAACUUCUCUGCAAACUUCUUUCUCUCUUCCAAUCGAACAUGUCGUCGAAGUCCUCCAAAUCUGCAUCAAUGUUGUUCCAGAGGAAAUCUUCUCGCAUCGCAAGUCGUGGACCUCGUAAUCUGCCUGAAGGACAAACUCAUUUUGAUCUGACUGGAGAAGAUUCUCCCAAGAGUUCUCCUCGUCACUCUGCAGAUGAGGAAGUUACACAAGAGGCGACUCAUAUUUCAGUGAGGUACUUUUCAAACAUUAUACAUUUUUAAAACAUGGUGGAAGUUCUAUGGACUUUAUCUCUAGCUUUCUGAAAGACCAUGGAUACGAAAACGAAACUCUGUGUUUUAGAAUGAUGGAAAGGUUAGGAUUGGCGCCAAAAGGAACAGCAGAGAAGGAAUUUUUGAAUUUUCCUUCUGAUCCUCACUUUGAAUCAAAAAAUCAACCUGAAAAUAAAGAUGAUGAUGAAAGAAUCUUUAUAAAUUUCCAACUAAGGAUGGGUGUGACGGCUGAGAUUACUGGAGAAAGAACGAAACUUUUUCGUUCAAAAGAGCAUAAAAUGGUUUAUGCUCAAAUGUUAAAUAGAGGAGUGAUAAACCUGCCCAUAAUAGAUUUUGAUUUUCUGGAUUCUAUAAAGGUUAACUUGAGGGAGAAGUUAGCAAAUCUUUAACUUGAAAAAAUUUGUGCAGAGACAUCUGAAGCAUAUCCUAAAUUAAUGGCAUAUUUUUUGUCACGCCCCAAUCCUCCGAGCAUGCGUCCAUCCCUACUUGGUCGAUUAAUAACGAUGUCUCAGGACGCGUCGCCGACCCAUUCUUUUUAAAGCGCAUGCGGAAACAGAUAAUAAUCCCCAAACAACAAUCAGAUGUGAUAGAAAAGUAGAGCCUCAAAUUUUUCAAACCAAAACAAACCCUCUUAUAAAUAAAUGGGUUCAUAUACAAGAUCAGGCUGUUUACAAAAAUGUUGGCUUAACAAAAAGGGGACUGACCUAACACCCACUAGUCAGACCUAUUUGCCGAUUCUUCAGCCUCUACCUUCCAAACCCCAGGCUUCCGGUCCUCCACGACCGCCAUCUAGGGACUUGAAAUUGUUAUUUCACAAUGGAAUAAGACAAUGUCUCAACAAGUUCUACUCUCUAAGACUCAAUUAGCAAGAAAAUACGCUCAAAGGGCUGCCUAAGCACAAUUACAAGUCAGAAGGCUUACCUUGGCCUCAGUUCCUUCCUGUAAGUCAGUUUAAUUCAUAAUUACUGACAAACCACAUCAUCCAGAUCAAUUCGGAUCAACUCAUCGAUCAAUCGACUCAGUCGAUUACAUGUCAUCGAGACCAUUCCCCGAUCAUAUCACUUACUCAACCCCAACACUGAAUUAUGGCUCAGUGAGCAUGGCCUACUAAAUUUUUGGCGAUAAUGCUGAAUUACGGCUCAGCGAGCACAACCGAUUCCAAAUUUAGUGGUAGAUUACGGUCUAGUAGACACAACCAUACUUUGGUGGAAAUGCUAAAUUACAGCUCAGCAGCACAACUGAUUCCAAGUUCGAUGGUAAUGCUGAAUUAUGGCUCAACUACACGAUCGAUUCCAAAUUCGGUGGUAAUAUUGGUCUAACUCACAACAACAUGCCCAACAACUCUCAAGUGCCCCACAAUCGCACAAAGCGACAUUCAAUCGAACAAUCAACAACCAAUUGCAUAAACCGCCCAAUUCACAAAUACCACAUGCAAUUUCACCACUCAACAUCUAAUGACCAAACCAACAUUUAGUUGCAUAAUUCAACUAAUUCACAACUACCGCGCAACUACACAAAUAAUCACUCAGCUUCACAAAACAACAUUCAAUUACAAAAACUAAACUCAUCACUGUGAUCAACUCGAAAUUCUAUCAAGCAGUUCUCCCGGUAUAAUUUUCAAAAAAUAUUAAUUAAUUAAUAAUUAAAUAAAUUCCAAAAAUUAUUUUAAUUUAAAUAAUUAAUUAAGUAAUUAAGAUAAUUAAUUAAAUUCUAAGCAUGAAUAAAUAAUUAAGUAAUUAAAAUAAUUAAUUAAAUUCUAAGCAUGAUUAACAUUAAUCUAAUUAGACUAAUUAAUUCAACCCUUAAUCUAAUCAUGCACAUAAUUUAAUUAACAUUUAACUAAGCUAAUCUAACCACCUAAACAUAGUUAGCUAAACUCACCAAAUUUGCGAGCUGGUGAGUCCACGGCGACCACGAUGCGGAGGUGAGCAACAAUCCUGCAAGCGGCAACACCAAUGGAGUCUGGGAAGGGCUCGGAGACGGGCCACGAAGCUUUAAGACCUUUGCUAGUUUCUGCCUCUAUUCUUGCUAGACUACAGAGAGAAAAACCAGUGGCUUCAACGGCAAAAACGGGUCGAUCGGAGCUUUGACAAGCGUGUGGUCGGCAACUGGUGGCUACUAGAGGUCUUAAGGGUCUUAUUGGAGGUUGGGAUGGGCAAAAGAAGGAAUUGAAUGGGAGAAAAAUGAAGAAAAAUGCAAAACAAUGUAGGUAGGCAACAGACUAACGGACCGACGAUCAAUUUCUUCUUGCUAGUGUACCGAACGGCCGACGACUCUGUUCUGGGUGAGGUCAGGCUCCUUGGAACGGUUUGGAUGUGCUGGUCACGGUGAUGGGUGGAUCGUUGGCUAAUUUGACUGGGAAGUCCACUUUCAACUCAAAUCUUUGGCGAAAAGUCAGCUAGAGUAAAAACUAGAAGAGAGGAAAACAAAGAGGAAAAUGGGGUCCGACGAUGGCUUUGCAUGCGUGCGAUGAAGCUACGGUUUCUCUAGUUUCUCUAAGGUCUCUCAAGCCUCAACAAUGGAGAAAGCAAGGGGAUAAAGGAGGAAGAAGCUUCAACUGAAGAGGGGGACCCCCAAAGGCCUUCCUAGGCUUCCAACACUUGCCCAUUGCACUUGAGAGUUGCCCCCACCACUUCAGCCCUAUCCUCAACCCUUUAUCUCUCCUCAAAGCUUCCUCAACACAUCAUUGAAGUAGUCCAAAUGUUCCCCCCUAUAGCAUACGAAUUUGUGACUUUUGUUCCUUAAAUUCCAUCAAAUCCUUUCAAUCCUCCCUCAAUUGAGUCCAAUUGAACUCCAUUUGAUUUCCAUGAAUCCAACUAAUGUGUCAUUAUCCCAACCCACAUUUUUCCUCACCAUAUAGUCCAACUUGAAUCCCAAAAGAGCGACCGAAAACGAGCAUACGAACUUCUUGAUCCAAACUACCCUUACUUUGGAUUUUUCGCCAAAAAUAUCAGUUUGUAGAAAAAUCUUCUGAAGAUGAGUCAACGUUCCUAAAAUGAAUUGUGACAUGACAUAACUUUCAAUUUCUGAAAUCGGGUUCAAAUUCACAGUUAAUUUUAAUCUGGUGCGAUUUAAGCGAUUCCUAACCUACCAGUUAGCUUUUAGGAACUUUUUGUGCAAUUGACCUAUGGUUAAUUAUUUUCAAGCCACAAAGUACAUUUUCGACACAUUGGCGACUCUCGGUUGUCGUGGAAAUCUCGAUGUUUCAAAUACGGACACAAGGUACCAAAGUGACAGAGAAAUCAAUCUAGUGCUGAUUGAUAAGAAUUUUGUAAUUAGGUGAAAUCACUCACACUUAAUCACAUAGUUCUGUCGAAUUGACCUAUCUCCGGUCUCUAAUCAGUCUGUGUCGUAAUGACCCUUGCAUAUUAGCACGGUCGAACAAUUGAUUCCUGGUUGAAUUCUCAAGUCUAUUGUGUUUAGAUUCCUUAACGGCUUCACAUGAUAGACUAGUUAUCUCGUGAGUAGCCAACUCAAAGAAAAGAGUUAUAGGCGCGAAGAUAAAAUGCCCGACUUAUUCAAUUGAAAAUAGAAUUGGCAAAUUCAGGAUGUCACAUUUUUACGUGAAUCUAUCAUUUCUAGAUUAAACUCAUAUUCAGUUUACUAUAUGUGAUAGAGUGUUUCAUGUAGAUGUGGAUAUUUUGGCUGACAUUUUGGGUGUAGAACGGAGUGGUUUUCUACUCAUAAACGUAUCUAUCAUUAAAGCUACUAGAUUUCUCGUGAAAGAUAGAUUGCCGAGUGGGAGUAUUACUUACUCUCGUAUGCCAGCGCCAAACAUUAUGUUGCAUAAGAUAGUGAUCAAUGGCAUUAGACCCGAGGUUGCCUCCAAGAUUGAUGUUUCAAUAUUUGAGGCAAAUAUAAUGUGGGCAAUUUGCAAUGGAGUUCUUUUUUCCCUUCCACAUACUAUUUUUUUGCAUAUGUAUAGAACCGUGAUGAAAGAAAAAGGGCAACUGCCCUACUCUGCCUUAAUAACUCGAUUAUUCAGACACUUUCAGAUUCAAUUACCUUCUCAACUUUGAUUAAGGACUCUCACUCCUAUGGAAAUAUGAAUGAAGAUGAUUUCCAAAAUGAGGCUAAAUGAUCUAUCUAAGGCUCUGGACCUUUUGAAGAAUGAAUCAUCUAGCAGAAUCAAAGAUUGACCUGUUGCUGCAAAGAAGCGCAAGGGAAAGGAUGUUGUCCAGAAGACAUCAAAGAAAAAGAAAUCUAUUCUUCUACAAGAUGAAGAGGAGGAAGAUGAAGAUCUGACAAUCUCUGCCAUCACUUUGCGCAAUCUUCAAGGUUAUGUUGAUUAUGAAGAGACAGAAGAAAAAUAAGGUGAAAAGGAAGAAGAAAGUCAACACCAGUUUUGGGUAGAUAGUUUGGCUCUUUUUCUCUUUUGCAUUUCCUGAUGACAUUGUGACGUCGAUCAUGUUUGAGGCUUUUCGGUGGAGACUUGUAGCUUGUAUUCUUAUCCUCUAAUUUGCUAUGCAAACAUAAAGCUGAAAAAGUGGGAACAUUUUACUUGGUUUUGUGUGGUCAACUAGACAAAUAUUAUGUGGAGGCUGAGUGUCCACAUUGUCUUUUCCUAUUCUCUCCAUGUACUUACAUUUUGUUGAACUAGCAUCUUUGAAAGAGUGCCCUUUUCUUCAUUUGUCGUUAUAUUCGAUGCAAUAGUACAUCUUUCGUUAUUUGGUCGACUCAAGACCCAGAAAAUCUUAGGUUUGCAUCUUUCCAGCGAUCCACUCACUGUUACUUAUAUCCAAGAAAAAUGGUUCUUGUGCCAUUGUAUAACAUGCUUCAAGUGAGACAUACUCUCCAAUCUCUGGAUGUUAUCAGUAUAGGAGUUUUAACAAAUCAAAGAGAACCAAAAAACUGAACGAAACCUAUUGAAAUGGACUGGUGUGUAAGGACUGAUGUAUCUACCAGCACCAUGGCCUAGUGGCGGUUCAGUUACACCAUGUCUCAAGUAAUUCUGAGGUAUGAUUCCACCUUUUCCUGUCCCUUUACUGUCUAUCAGAUAGAUUACUGCUAAUAUGUCAUUCCUUAUCUUAGCCCGUUUUUCGUGGGCCAGGUCUUGGGCCAAGCUUAGGACUAGAAAUGAUGGUGGUGUUUUACCCAUAAGUCACAUUGUGCCAUUAGAUGUUUGAUUUAGAGCAUCACCCAAUUCAACCAUAGGCCAACGGUAGCUUAGGAGAGCACUUAUGGGCUCUCAUGUGGACCAUGAGCUCUUGCCUGGACUUGGGUCAGGUCUCGCACCGUACUCAAAAAAUGUCCACUCGACCACUCGACCCGCAUGGGGUGGAGACCGGGUAAAAGCACUGACCAUUUGACCAGAUCGAUGUGGCAUCAUUCGACAGUCCAACUUGAAGUCAGUCAAACACGUCUCCCCUGCAUCUCUCUCUCUCUCUCUCUCUUGCUCGCUCGCUGGGAACAGAAGAAUGGACGCCGUGGAUUCGGUGGUCGAUCCUCUUCGAGACUUCGCCAAGGACAACAUCCACCUCGUCAAGCGUUGCCACAAGCCCAACCACAAAGGUGACCGCUUCUCGUUCGCGCAUGCAAAAUGCAUUCUGUAAAAGAACUGAGGAAUUUUGGAAUGAGAAUUAUGUAGUUCAUUGACACAGAAAUGCAACAUAUAUACAAGAAGAUACAUCUGUCAAACAAUCUCCUAAUUAGGCUAAACUACCAAAAAUACAAGGACAGCACAAAUAAAAAGAUAUGUACACAAAACUUCAGAAGUAAACGGUCUAAAUAAAAACAUAUCACAACUGCCUUUCCAAUAUCUUUCAAUACCCCCCCCCCCUCAAGUUGGAGCAUGGAGAUCUCAAAUGCCCAACUUGCGAAGAAGAAAGUUAAAUUGAUCCUUUCCCAAUGUCUUCAUGAAGAUAUCAGCUAGCUGCAUUGAACUACGUACAUAAUUUGUUUGAAUGUUACCAUUAAGCAUCUCAUUACGAAUAAAAUGACAAUCUACUUCAAUAUGCUUGGUAUGCUCAUGAUAAAUAGGAUUGGCGGCUAUAUGUAAAGCUGCCCGACUAUCGCAAUACAACUGCAUAGGUUGAGAAUGUUCCACACCAAGAAAAUCCAAUAAUCCUUUCAACUACUUAAGUUCACAAACUAUAGUACUUAUAGACCUGUAUUCAGCUUCAACGGAUGAGCGAGACACUGUUUGUUGCUUCUUAGUCUUCCACAAGAUAGGUGAUUCUCCCAAAAGAACAAAGUAAUCGGUCAAAGAUCAUCUUGUCAAAGGACAACUAGCCCAGUCAGAAUCGCAGUAAGCAGACAAUUUGAGGUCACAAUUGGUACGCAACAUAAUACCCUAACCUAUAUUUCCUUUCAAAUAACGCAUAACUCUCACAACUGCCUCCCAAUGAGCUUUCUUUGACCGCUGCAUGAACUGUGCAAGAAUAUGUACACAGUAAGACAAUUCAUGUCGUGUUAUUGUUAGAUAAAUAAACCGAUCCACUAGGCACCUAUACUGAGUAGGGUUGUCUACAUCAUCACUCUUAGUGAGGACCAACUUGUGAUUUUGUUCAAGAGGAGUUUUAGUCGGCUUGGAACCGAGCAAUCCGACCUCAAAAAUCAUAUCCAACACAUACUUACAUUGACACAAGAAAAUACCAUCUGAGUUUCUCGCCACUUCAAUCCCCAAGAAAAAUUUCAGCUUCCCCAAGUCUUUCAUAUGAAAACGACGACUUAAAUAGUUCUUGAACUUUUGCACAGCGGAAAUAUCAUUACUGGAGAUAAUGAGAUCAUCAAUAUAAAUAAGCACAUUCAAUUGAGCAGUCCCAACUCAAAAAGUGAACAAGGGGUAAUCUGAAUAUGAUUGCUGAAAUCCAUAAGCUUUCAAAGAUGCUGCCAAUUUCGCAAACCAACAUCUAGGUGCUUGUCGCAAAUCGUAUAGAGAUUUCCGAAGUCUUCAUACCUUCCUUGAUGAUUAAGAGGCAAAUCCAGGCGACAUCUUCAUGUAAACCUCUUCCUUUAAAUUGCCAUGUAAGAAAACAUUUUGAACGUCCAUCUAAUGAAGUUCCCAAUUCUUUGCAACCGUAACGGCAAGAAAGGUGCAUACAGUGCACAUUUUUGUCGUAGGAGCAAAAAUCUCCUGAUAAUCUAUGCCUUCAACUUGUUUAUUUCCUAGUAUCAGCAACCGCACCUUGUAUCAUUCAACGCUUCCAUCAAAAUUGUACUUAAUUUUAUACACCCACUUGCUCCCAAUUGCUUUCUUCCCAGGCGGCAAAUUUUAGAUUGUCCAUGUGCCAUUAUCUUCUAAAGCCUGUAUUUCUUUACUCAUGGCCUCUCUCCACCGUUCAUCUUUAAUUGCUUAUGCAUAAGAGUUUGGUUCAUGUUCUGCAGUAAUUGCUGCCAAGAAACACCAGUGUUGCGCAGAAAAUUUUUUAUAACUCACAUAACAUGCUAUAGAAUAAGGCAUACCUAAGGAAUCAGAUCGGGCAAAUAAGCAUGUCGAGGGGCUUAUUUUGAUGGCAUUUGUCACAUAAUCUUUCAAACAAAUAGACGGUUGCUUGACCCUUUGUCCCCUGCCUAGUUGCUCUUCAUCAACUUCACUUCUUUCCACAUCCUCAUUGUUUGUGUGGAUCAAUUCCUCCAUUUCAUGAUUCACCUCAUUUUCUCUAUCUACACUUUCGGCAUGCUCCUCUCUCAAGUCACUUUUUAAAUCAUCAACUUCAUCACCCAACUCCAUAACUCUAUUUUUAAUGAGUUCAUCACUUACUGUUUUCUCAUCAGCAUAUGGAAAUUCUAUUUCGCAAACACUACAUCUCUCGAUACAAAGUAUUCACCAGCUUCUAAAUCAUACAAUCUCCACCCCUUCUUUCCCAAUGGAUAACCAACAAAAACACAUCGACGACUUCUACUAGCAAAUUUAUAUUUAUCCCGAUUCUAAUUAUGCGCAUAGCACAAACAACCAAAAAUCCGAAUAUGUUUGUAAGAAGGAGGUUGGCCAAAAAUAAUCUCAUAUGGGGUUUUGCCAUUCAAUAAUAUAAUGGAGUCCUGUUAAUCAAAUAUCCAGCUACAAGUACACAUUUUCCCCAAAAUUCUAUAGGUAAAUUUGCUUGGAAAUGCAAAGCUCUUGCAACAUUAAGGAUAUGGCGAUGCUUUCUUUCCACUCGGCCAUUUUGUUGAGGUGUUCCAACACAAGAAGUCUGAUGCAAUAUCCCAUGUUCAUCAAAAUAUUCUUUCAAACACAAAAAUUCACUUUCGUUAUCACUUCUAACAAUUUUCACAUUUUUCUCGAAUUGGCAUCUAACCAUCGCAAUAAACUUCCUAAGAACACAAGCCACUUCAUUUUUUCCAUUCAGCAAAUGUAUCCACACAGCACGAGAGUAAUCAUCAACAAUUGUCAAGAAAUAAAUUGCUCCACAUGAAGCUAGCACUCUAUAAUGUCCCCACAAAUCACAAUGUAUUAAUCCAAAACAAUCUUUAGCUUUAUUGUUACUAGAAAAAGAAGAUCUCUCUUGUUUGUUUUGCUCUAAAACAAACCUCACAAGUUUUAUUGGUUUUCCUAACCAUUUUGCCAGCUUCUAGAAUUAACUCCACUACCUUGGAAGAAGGAUGACCCAUUCUUUUAUGCCAAAGCUCAAAGGAUUCCAUAUCAGCCACCAUGCAAGCAUGUACUGAAGUCACUCCCUUGAGAAAGUAAAGCCCCUCGCAUUGCUCACCCGCUCCAAUCAAGUUCCUCGAAUUUAGGUCCUGUAUAGCACAUAUUUUGUUAGUCAGUUGAAUAACCAAAUUUGAAUCAUUAAAAAGUUGUGAUACAUAAAUCAGAUUACAUUUCAAAUUGGGCACACAAAGAACUCGUCACAAUUUCAAGUCUCCUCCAAGAAACACAAUUCCUUCUUUCAUUGCCAUGGUCUUUUCUCCAUCAAGUAACUCAACUAAGCAUGGCACAAUAUCACACAAUUCUCUCAAAACUGCCAACGUUCCUAUCAUAUGGUGGGAAGCUCCUAUGUCAAUAAUCCAAGGAAAAAUACUUUGUUUACUAGUCAGCCUCUCAUGGGCACCAUUCUGAUGAGAACUUAACAUUCCCAAUAAAGUUGCCCAGUGCUCAUCAUUCAAUCCACUAAGACCCUUUCGAUCUGAAUCCGUCACAACUCCUCGCCCACCAUCAACUCUAGUUACCUGUGAGACGUUGGCAUGAGCACCACCUCCCUUUGUACGUCCACCUCUAUUACUAUGCUUUUGACCACUACCUUGUCUAGCAAAGGUUCCACGUGGUCUAUUACCCCACCAUUCUGGAUAUCCUAUUAGCUGGAAACAACUUUCAGCAUCAUGUCCCUCUCGGUUGCAAUUAGAACAAAACAGGAUCUUAUCUUUAUCCCCCCUUGAAUUUUGACCACUUGCUUGGAUUGCAAAACUCAUGGGAUUGUCUCUUUCAUCCUUGGUUCGUGUCAUAGUUCGCACUUGCUUUUGCUGAACAACCAUAGCAUAGACACGAUUUAGAUUAGGCAAAGGUUCAGUGCUCAAAAUAUUAGCGCGCACUGUUCCAUAUCCUUCUUCAUCUGAGCCCAUAAAAAACUGAUGAACUCUCUCUUCUUCACGCUUUCUUUCCAAUUCAAUGGUUAUAUGGCAUCUACAACCUAUACAAACACACAUCAGUAAAUGAUCAUAGUUAUUUAUUUCAUCCCACAAGAUUUUGAGUUUACUGAAAUAGGAUGGGUUGACCAUCCUGACUACAAUUGGCCAAAUCCGAUCUUAGUUGCUGCAUCCGUGGACCAUUCCCAAUUGAGAAUCUUUGUUUGAUAUCCUCCCACAAAUCUUUCACGUUCUCCAUGUGAGAGAUAGUCGAGCGAAGUGCCGGUUCAAUAGUAUUAAACACCCAAGAAACCAACAUGGAAUUAACCGUCCACCAAUCUUCAAGUUCCAACGAAUCAUCUGCUGGUUGCUUGACAGAUCCAUCAAUAAAACCAUAUUUCUUCUUGGCUCGUAAUGCAGUCCGCAUAGCUUGCGCCCAUUCUUCAUAAUUCUCGCCCUUCAACCGAACUUGGAUAAUCAAGUUACCUGGGUUGUCAUUCGAAUUUAGUGUGUAAGGGCUAGAGGCUUUCUUGUCUGUUCCAAAACUCUCCUCACUUUUUUUUCCAUCAGCCAUGGCUCUGAUACCAUGUAAAAGAACUAAGGAAUUUUGGAAUGAGAAUUCUGUAGUUCAUUGCCACAGAAACGCAACAUCUAUACAAGAAGAUAUAGCUAUCAAACAAUCUCCUAGUUAGGCUAAACUACCAAAAAUACAAGGACAACACAAUAAAAAAGAUAUGUUUACAAAACUUCCUAAGUAAACGGCCUAAAUAAAAGCCCUAAAUAAAAACAUAUCACAAUUGUCUUUCCAAUAUAUUUCAAUACAUUCUUGCCCUGUCAUCUCCCGGACUUUCUUGAUCGAUUGGUUUCGGUUCUGUCUUUCCCCUGCAGAGUUCACCAAGGUCACCUUUUUGCACCACCAUUGGAUUCGUGGUCAUGGGUUUUGUUGGGUUCUUUGUGAAGCUCAUCUUCAUCCCCAUCAACAACAUCAUCGUCGGGUCCGGUUAGGAGGUAAUUCAUGCCCUGCUUCUUGUUUUGUGUGUGUGUGUGUUUUCUUGCUUUUGUAGAUCUCCCAAUGCUCGACCGCGGCUCUUUGUUAUCGGGUUGUCUUCUGUCUAGAUUCUCAAUCUCUAAGGUAGAUCUUGUGCCCUUCUGUUCUUAUGAAAGAAAGGUGCUUCCUUUGGCUAGCGCGGAGGCUCUUUGUGAAAGCUGCAUAUAGUUCUUUAGGGUAACGGAUUCAUCACUUGAACUUGUUGUGGAUGUUUAUCCUGUCGUUUGUAAGGAUCUGCAUAUUGUUUGAUGUGGCCACCUACAUAUGAAUUAUUUUAAAUUUAAAACGUAUCAGUAGGCCUAGCCUACAAAUCUAUUUGAACUAUCAACUAAUUCCUAGAAUUUUAGGCAUGAUGGGAUUGUAAUUCUUUCUACUUCUUGAGGUAUAAUGACAGACCGAGAGGCUCGACUAGAAAGAAUCGGCAGAGAAAUUUUGUGUUAUAUAUGGUAAUCUUUCUGUUUUGAUAUCCGAAUUGGAUCCAUAAUUUUCCUAUUUGCCCUCCGAAGAGUCCUCCAAAUAUUAUUUUGGUCUUGGAUUAGUGAUCCAUUUUGAUAUCUUUUUGGAGGAAUGUGAAUAGGGAAGAGAGGAUAGGCUCAUUACAUUAAAAAAAAACAAUAAAAAAAGAUAUGGGAAUUUUACAUAAGUAAUUGAGCGUGAGAGCCAAAUGAAUUGAAAGAUUCAUGUUUGGUUCAGGAAGGGAUUAUGGAAGUUUUGAAAUGAAUGGAAAGAUAAUCUACUUUCAUUAAGUGAUUUAUUAGAUAAUUGAAAAAAGAGGAUCUUGAAUACUAUUCGCAAUUAAGAAGAAUUAUGUGGCAGGGCCAUUGAAUAGCUGGAAAAAGCUUGGGCCCAUUUACGAAAAGUGGAAAUGGAAGCGGAGCAGUUUUGAGUGAAUGGAUGCGAGGAUGGGAAUUUAUGAUAUGAAAAAACAAUUUCUAUUUCUAAUAAAUAUGGAAAAAAAAAUGUAGAACCUAGAAAAGAAAGAAAAAUUUAUUGGAAUUACUAGUCUUAGAAUCGAGUUGGACAAAAAUAGAAGGCGCACAGGUUGUGAACUUCUUUUCCCAGAGAAGAAGCAAUGACGGUAUCUAGGGAAUAAGCAUCGACUAACUCUGUGCCAGCAACUGUGGUAAUACAGAGGAUGCAAGCGUUAUCCGAGAUGAUUGGGCGUAAAGCAUCCGUAUGUGGCGCGACGCUAUCACUGAUUCAGAGCAAACCUUCGUGAUGGGAGAGAUGGAAAGCUGCUGAUGGAUUGGACAUGCAUUCAUUAUUGAGAGUCUAUCAGAAGGAUUCAUUUGCAGAUUGUAAAUAGAUCGAUUUUAGUUUCAGGGGCCCUCUUUCAGUUACCGCUUUUCGGCUUUGCAAAGCCAUUGUGAUAAUUGGGGUUUUAUUUUAAAUCAAACUUAUCUUACUGUUUUUCUGUUGUUUUUAACCUUCAUGAAACUACUGUUCAAUCCAUGAAGUUACCAAACACAUGCUUUUUAGUGGUGGCAAAAUUUUUCUAGGUGAAGUUCUCACUUUUAAUGAUUCUUAACACAGCAGACAUGCUAUUCUUAGUCCUAGAUGUAUACAAAUAAAUGUUGAUAUUGCUAGUACAAGUACCUAGAGGGGGGUGAAUAGGUUUAUAAAAGUUUUCUUGAAGAUUGGACAAUACUUAGACAGAUGAAGGAUUUGCAAUAAUUAAAAAAUCAAUCGUAAGACUGAGUAAGGGAAAGAGAGAAUUGAACAUGCGGUUUAUAGUGGUUCGGCUUGAUGCAAGCCUACGUCCACUCUUCUGCACUGACAGCCGAUUGGCUGGAUUCCACUAUGAACAAAGAGAUGUUACAAUGUUGAUCUUCCUUGAUUUCUCGAUGUAGAUGAUCUACUACACUCGCUCAAGGUAUCACCAAGUAUAAACACUCUCUGUGUAUACAAUUUCGCUCGAACUGUAUCGACUAACAAUCAAGGUUCUUCAGAUUCUGGAAUUUUCCUAUCAAUCACACACUUAAAACAACUAGAGCGUCUUCCUUUUAUACUCCUUUAUGCCAUCAUAGCCGUUGGCACUUACCAAAGGAAUUCCUCCAAUCUACCCGUUGGACGGAAUCAAUUAAGAAGAUCAUCCGAGCUAUUUAAGGAAUCUGAUGAUAGCCCAUCAAUCUUGUUCGCCCAUACAAUCAGGAUCUUGGUUUCCAAGAAUAGAACAUUCCAAGAAUGUUUCGUCGAUCAUUGGAUCUUCAAUUGAUCUUAGAUAGGAAUCAAAGAAUCCGAAAUGAUUAUCCAACCAAGGGAUCUUUUCCAGAGGAUAGGAUCGAAUCCUCAACCAUAUACUUCGGCUUUGGAUUUCCUUCGUCACUGGAUUAGAAAGACUGUCAGUGAGAAUAGUCAUGAGUCUUGAGUCUUGAGUCUUGAGUCUUGAGUUUACAAAGUCUUGAGACUUUAAACUGUCGAUAUCCAGACUAGACUGAUAGAAAUGUUUUGUCAGCUUCAAAAUAUUCUGGAAAGAUUUCUCCAACAAUCUCCCCCUUUUUGAUGGUGACAAAACUUUCUUGUAGAUUUGAACAACUUUGACCUGCAAAAACAUUUCUCAAGCAAUAUGGCUAACUCAUAAAGAUUAAUAAAACAACCAGACUCUGCAUCCACAGAAAAUUGGUUAGUCUUUCAUGAGUAAUACCAUAUAACAAAACUUGAUAUAAAUGUAACCAGUCAAGCAUCAAAAUCCACAUACAAUUCAGUCAAAUUUAAAAUCACACCCAAGUUCAAGUUCUCAAGUCAUACUCAAAAAUAAACAUAACCAACCACAAAAGUCAAAGUUUUUAGAAUUGUUUUGGUUCAAAUUGGUUCUCCCCCUUUUUGUCAUCAUUAAAAAGGGUGAGAAAGGAGUCAUGUCUACUUGGGAAUGCGCACGAUCUGGAAAUCUCCCAUUGACUGACUAAGCCUUUUAGCCUCUUCAAAUCCUCCCUUAGAUGAGCUACCUCUUCUCCUUUGGCAUUGGCUUGAAGUUGCAGAGCGAGGUCUUUCAUCUUGUCCUUCAGGGUGACUGAAGAUGCCUGUCCAGCAUUCUUCAUGGUUUGAAUUUCACAGUCCAGAGCAUAUAUCUGACCACGCAUUUCCAGAAGAAUAUCCAUGAUGCGAUGAAAAUCUGCAGAAUUUUCCGUCUGUGUACUGGCAUGAGCUUUCUCAAAUGGAGUAAAUGGAGACGAUGGCGCUUUUGUAUAGUCUUGCAUAUUUGGUGUCGACGUAUCACCUUCUUCAGGCAAUUGAGAAGCCUGAAAUUCUUCUGGGUCUGUUGGAGAUUGUCUUGGACCUUCACUAUCGACUGCAUGAGGUGUAGACCUUUCUUGCUCGCCAACUCCCCCUGUCUCUAGGACAUCCAAAGGGGAAGAGUGAUGAUCAUGCUCUUGAUUUCCCUUCUCUCCAGAUUCAGCAGCAGACUUUUCUUUCUCUUCUUCAGCUUCUUUCUCCUUCUCUCUCUGCUCUUCUUCUUCUCUGCUCUUGGUUUGCUCUUCUUCUUCUCUCUGUUUCUUCUUAAGAUCUGUCGACUGAGACACAGAACGUCUGGUUCUUGUCAGUGCAUGGAUGGUAGGAUCUUCAUCCUCUUCAUCUUCAUCCUCCAGGAUGAGAGUUCUUUUCUUCUUUUUCGAUGGGGCACCAAUGGCCUCCUUUCCUUUUCUCUUUGAAGCAGACUGAACUGGAGAUUUCAUUCUGAAUUUUUCCAUUGCCUUGGAAAGUUCUUGCAGACGCAUCUUCGUUAACAUUUUCAAACCUACCACCAUCUUAUCACAUGGUUGAACACAAAGUGUUUGUGGCGGUUCAAUAUUCAUGUGUCUGAAGAUCUUGGUCACCAGACCAGGAUAAGGCAAUUGUCCUUUAUCUUUCGACAUUGCUCUAUACAUAUGGAAGAGAAUAGUGUGCGGGAGAGAGAACUUUCGUCCUGAGUUGAUCGCGUACAUCAACUUUGCUUCAGAAAGAGACACAGAAGUCUUUGACGUAGACUUUGGUCUAAGACAGUUGAUUACAAUCUUAUGAAGCACAAUGUUGAUGGCAUUCAUCCUGGAAUAGGUAACUUUCUUCUCUGCGUUCCUAUCUUUGACAAGUUCCAGAGUAGUACGAGUAGGUGAGACUUUGAUUGGUAGAUAACGUCCUCGUUCAACUCCAACUAUGUCUGCCAAUAUAUUCACAUCUACCACGUAGACUUGGUCUCGUACACUGAAUGAAAUUCUAUUCGCAUCCAGAAAGCUAAGAUUUGAAUAGAAAUAAGCGGUCAGAUGAGCAUACCCGUCAGUAGAAUCAGAGCAAAAAUUCUCAAGUUGAAACAAAUUCAACUUUUCUCUUAAGUUCAUGUUGAUAGCGUCCAGGAAGUCAAAAUCGACACUUCUAGGGUUUAUCACCCCUCUUUUCAACAGCCUGAAAUACACUUUUUCCUGAUCCUUGGAUUUGAACAAAUCCAUCCGAUUUCCUUUCACCUUUGCCGCCACUCCCAUUUUCGGUUGAAAUUCAAGGAACAUUCUGUCAUCAUCGUUCCCUUCAAUUAAAUUUUGUCCUGGCAUACGAGGAUCGCUUGGAAUGUUUGCAAGUGCGUCCUCUGCUUUUCCUUUCGGGGCAAUUCCCAAAUCCUCCAUUUUCCUUAGAAAAAGAUACUCAUUCCCAUAAUUUUUAUCCUUAAGGAAGUCAUCUAUAUAUUUCAAUGGAGUACCGAUGCUUUUCAACGCACGAUAAAUUUUAUAGAUAAAGGAGGGUUUUUGGACUCUUACUGGGUCGGCAUCCUCGAUUAUCUCUUCUUCCAGAAGAUGACUUUCACCUUGUGGGGCAGGAGGCGUUGAAUGACGUGGAUGAGAGCGAAUCGGACUUUGACACUGACUUGUUAAGUCUUCUUCCUCAGUGAGAUCGAAGUGAGUCGGUCCCUUCUCCAUUCUCUGUGGUCCCCUGCUUGCGAUUCUUGAUGAUUUCCUCGAAGAAGACAUCUUUCUUUGUCGAUUAGAAGAUUCCUUCACUUGCUUUCCCAAGAAAAAUGACCACUUUCUCGACGACGAACAAGUAGUAGAAACAGUAUCGGGAGGAGAGUGCCUUUUAGGGUUUUGAAGAUUGGGAAAAGAAAAACUGUAUAUAUAUAACUCAGUUUUGAAAAAGGAAGUUCAAUCGGUGCAAGGAAAGUGUAUGAACACUUCUUUUCAAAAUCAAUAACUACCAAAAUUAUUUCUUUUUUAAAAAGACAAGUCUUCAAAUUUUAAGUGGAUUAUAGAAUAUCCGAACAAAAGAUCGUACCUUUUCGAGUUUAGAUACCUAAACGAAAAUCCGUUCCUUUACAACUUACAGUCUAUAGCCACGAAUGUCUGAGUCUGAGGAUUUAAAGUCUGAAAGAUUAGAGUUUUAGAGUUGGUGAGUCUCUAGACUUUAACUUCUUCAAGCUUCAAAAUGUUGAGUCUUGAACGGAUAAAGUCGAAUUGAUUUUUCUCCAAAGGCUUUGUGAAUAUAUCCGCUAGUUGACUCUUUGAAUCAACAAAUUGAAUUGAGAUUUCUCUAUUUUGAAUAUGAUCUCUAAUGAAGUGAUGUCGAAUCUCAAUAUGCUUUGCUCUUGAAUGAAGGAUUGGAUUUUUGGUGAGAUUGAUCGCACUGGUGUUGUCACAUCUGAUUUCUGUGCAUGAGUCUUCAAUCCCAAAGUCUUGUAGCUGUUGUUUCAUCCAUAGAAUUUGCGAACAGCAGCUUCCAAGAGCUACAUACUCUGCUUCUGUCGUUGAGAGAGCUACAGUGCUUUGCUUCCUUGAAAACCAAGACACUAUCCUGUUUCCAAGUAGUUGACAAGUUCCAGAAGUGCUUUUUCUAUCGACUCUGCAACCGGCCAGAUCUGCAUCUAAGUAUCCUAGAAGAUUAAAGUCUCCCUUCUUGGGAUACCAGAGACCGAUGCUUGAAGAUGAGGCAACGUAUUUGAUAAUACGUUUUGCAGCACUGAGAUGGGAUUCUCUAGGAUCUGAUUGAAACCUAGCACAAAUGCAAACACUCAACAAAAUAUCAGGUCUAGAAGCAGUAAGAUAAAGAAGUGAACCGAUCAUGCUCCUGUACAGCUUUUGAUCUACUUUCUUCCCUUCUUCAUCCUUGUCUAUCUUCUGAGAACAUGACAUUGGUAUGUCGGUCUUUUUGCACUUUUCCAAUCCAAACCUUUUGACAAGAUCAUUCACAUAUUUUUCUUGAUAAAUAAAAGUUCCUUCCCUCAUUUGUUUCACUUGAAGUCCAAGAAAGAAUGUUAAUUCUCCCAUCAUACUCAUUUCAAACUCAUCCUGCAUAGACUUAGAAAAUUUCUUGCAUAGACUUUCAUUUGGUGAUCCAAAAAUAAUAUCGUCUACAUAUAUUUGAACAAGUAAAAAGUUUUUGUUUUCCUUUUUGAUAAACAAAGUAGUAUCUACUUUACCUUUGACAAAACCAUUCUGUAAUAAAAACUUACUUAGUCUGUCGUACCAAGCUCGAGGUGCUUGCUUUAAACCAUACAAGGCCUUUUUCAGUCUGAAGACUGAGUUUGGCUUCUUUGGGUCUUCAAACCCAGGUGGUUGUUCCACAUAAACUUCCUCAUGGAUGAAUCCAUUUAGGAAUGCACUUUUGACGUCCAUUUGGAAUAACCUGAAAUUUUUAUAACAAGCAAACGCAAGUAAUAGACGAAUAGCUUCUAACCUUGCUACUGGAGCAUAAGUCUCAUCAUAGUCUAUUCCUUCUUCUUGCGUAUAUCCUUUGGCCACGAGUCUUGCUUUGUUUCGUACGACUUUUCCUUCUUCAUUCAUCUUGUUCCUGAAUACCCACUUGGUUCCAAUAACAGUUUUACCUUUUGGUUUAGAUGUCAAUUCCCAGACAUCAUUGAUGUUGAACUGUCUGAGUUCUUCUUGCAUAGCUUCGAUCCAACUUUCAUCAGAUGAAGCUUCUUCUAUGCUUUUUGGUUCAAUUUCAGAAAUGAGAGCCACAGCACUAGAUUCUUCACGCCUUUUUGAUCUGGUGCGGAUUCCUUCAUUGAUUUCGCCAAUAAUGAGAUCUUUGGGAUGACUGGAUUUAUGCUUCCAGUUACUGGUUGAUCUGCCUGGUUGAUGAUCUCUAUCUUUAUUUGAAUCUUCAUGAGUUUCUUGAUGUUGGACUUCCAGAGACUGAGAUGCUUCUUGAGUUGUAAGCGUUGGAAAUUCUGGAGUGGGUUCAGACUCUUCAUACUAAGUCUGGCUGGAUUCAUCUUGCAUUGAGUCUUGGAAUUUGACAUUCUUGAGUUGUAAGCGUUGGAAAUUCUGGAGUGGGUUCAGACUCUUCAUACUAAGUCUGGCUGGAUUCAUCUUGCAUUGAGUCUUGGAAUUUGACAUUCAUUGAUUCCUCCACCGACUGGCUUUUCUUGUUAUAGACUCUGUAGGCUUUGCUUGAUGUAGAAUAUCCAAGGAAGAUGCCUUCAUCUGAUCUUUGAACAAUUCAUAGGGGGUUUUCUCUAAAAUAGGUCUUAAAAAGACUCUAUUUAUAAUAUAGCAUGCUGUUAAAACAGCUUCAGCCCAAAAUCGUGAAGAAAUUUUGCUUUCAAUUAUAAGUGUUCUAGCCAUUUCUUGAAGAGAUCUAUUCUUUCUUUCCACAACUCCAUUUUGCUCAGGAGUAUAUGGAGAGGAAAACAUAUGAUUAAAACCAGAUUUAUCACAAAAUUUCGUAAAAUCUUGAUUUUCAAAUUCACUUCCAUGAUCUGUUCUUAUGCUUGAGAUUGCACAUCCUUUUUCAUUUUGAACCUUUUUGGCAAAUUUUUCAAAAUACGAAAAGGUUUCUGACUUACUUGCAAGGAAAUAUACCCAUGUAAAGCGGGAGUAAUCAUCCACAAUUACUAGGCAAUAUUUCUUACCUCCAAUGCUCUGGGUUCUGGUCGGUCCGAAGAGAUCCAUAUAAAGCAACUGUAGUACAUGAUUAGUAGAGACAUGAUUUAUUGGCUUAAAUGAAUUUCUUACCUGCUUUCCCAGAAUGCAUGGAGUGCAUGAAUCAGACUUUUGGUAUGGCAAUUUAGGUAGACCUCGAACAAGCUUCUUUGAUGAGAUUUUGGCUAAUUGUUUCAUGUUGACAUAGCCAAGCUUUCUGUGCCAUAAGACUGCUUCAUCUUGAAUUGAGAUUAGGCAUUGUGCUUCAUUUGGUUUUACAUCAAGGAGGUAGAUAUUUCCAUGCCUUCGACCCAUGAAAGACUGAGUUGAGUCUUUGCUAAUUCCAGAACAUAUACCUUCUUGAAAGGAGAUCUUGAAACCAGUAUCACACAAUUGGCUAAUGCUUAGAAGAUUGUAGUUGAGUCCUUCCACUAGAGAGACAUUGCUUAUUGUGAGAUUUCCAAUUUUCACAGUUCCAAAGCCCACAAUGCUUCCUUUGCUGUUUCUUCCAAAUGAAACUUUUCCACCAUUUACUUGAACAAGCUUUAUAAAGCAAUUUGAGUCUCCUGUCAUGUGUCUUGAACAUCCGCUGUCAAGAUACCACUUAACUUUCUUUUUGACAGAGACCUGCAUUAAAAGAGAGUCUCAAGCUUUCUUUGGUACCCAAAUUUUCUUGGGUCCUUUGGCGUUAGUAGAAUGAGCAUUACUAGGCCAUACCUUUUUAACAGGCUUCCAAACCAUAGGACACUCUUUUUCAAAAUGAUCCUCACUGUUACACUUUGAACACCUUAGAGCAUUUCGACCUACAGACUUUACAAAGACUUUCUCGAAAUGAUUUUUGUAAGCCUCUUUUGACAGUCUUUUCUUAAUUCUUCCUUUUACUUUUGGAAAAUCAAUCAAAGGAAUUAUUUCUGCUAUCAUACCUAAACCAGACUUAUUGAAGUAAGGUCUUUGGAUUGAAAGAACUUUUUCAAGUUUUUCAGACCCUAUUGAAAAUUUCUUUGAAAUAUUUGAUAAGUCAGUUUUUAAGAAAGCAUUUUCUUUUGAAAGUUUAUCUUCAUUCUCCUUAAGAGUUGAAACAUUCAAAUCUAAACUUUUCACUUUUUCUUCUAAAAUAUUUUCCUUUUGUUUUAAAACUGAGUUUUCCUUUUUAAGUUCGGAAAUCUUUUUGAGAGAAGUCUUAAGACUAAAACAUAGUUCAUCAAUGUAUUUAGAGACUUUAACAGGGAUUUUAUAAUCACUUACCUCAAAUUCACUGUCUGAGUCUGAUCCAGAGUCUGAGUCUGAUUGUGCCAUCAGACACAGAUUGGCAUAUUCCUCAUCACUUUCUUCACACUCUGUAUCGCUCUAAGUUUCGGCUUUGAAAGCUUUUUGAGACUUUUCAGCUUUUCCUCUCUUCUUCUUCAGGAGAGGACAAUUUGGUCUGAUGUGUCCCUUUUUCUUACAUUCGAAGCAAACUACAUCUUUGUUUGGUUCCUCAUUAUCAACAAACUUGGUUUGCUGUUUCUGAAGACUUUGUUUCCUUGAGUUGAACCUUCUUCCUUUUCUAUUCAGCUUUCUGAACUUUCUAAUCAUUAGAGCAAGCUCCUCAUCGUCCAGAUCUUCUUCAGAGUCUGUAUCAUCAGAAUCAUCGUUAGAUUUUAAUGCAAUGGAUUUCUUACCUCUUGGAUCUUCGUCUUCAUUAAUUCGUUCCACUUCGUAAGACUGAAGAGUUCCAAUCAGCUCGUCUACAGAUAAUGGCAUAAUUCUUUGCGUCUCUCUUAUUGAAGUCUUUAUAUGAUUCCAAUCCUUGGAGAGUCCACGCAGCAGUUUGUUCACCUUCAUAGGAUCAGAAAUUUUCUGUCCUUGAUUUUCAAGGCCAUUGACAAUAUCUGUAAAACGGCUAAACAUGUCAGUUAUAGAUUCUCCUGGUUUCAUUUUGAAGGCUUCAUAUUGACCAAGGAGAAUGUUAAUUCUGGUCUCCUUCACUCGGUCUGUUCCUUCAUAAGUGAUAUGUAAUCUGUCCCAGACUUCUUUUGCUGUGACACAAGAAGAUAUUAUGUUAUAUUCAGUUGGUGAUAAAGCACAAUAUAAAGAGUAAAUUGCUUUUGCAUCGAGUGCUUGUCUCUUGUUUAUCUCUUCUUGAGACAUUCCACUGAUAUCAACAGUUUCUUUCCCUCUUUCGGAUACUGAUGCAGCAGUAGGAAUAAUUCCUCUUUCCCCUACAUCCCAUUCCAGAGGAUCCUUUGACCGUAGAAAAGCUUUCAUCUUGUUUUUCCAGAUGUUGUAAUCCUUUCCAUCAAAGUAGGGUGGUCUGAUAUUGCUUUGCCCUUCCACCAGCCCUGGUGCUAGCAUACUAGCCAUGGAUCUUUUACUCUGAAGUAAANNNNNNNNNNNNNNNNNNNNNNNNNNNNNNNNNNNNNNNNNNNNNNNNNNNNNNNNNNNNNNNNNNNNNNNNNNNNNNNNNNNNNNNNNNNNNNNNNNNNNNNNNNNNNNNNNNNNNNNNNNNNNNNNNNNNNNNNNNNNNNNNNNNNNNNNNNNNNNNNNNNNNNNNNNNNNNNNNNNNNNNNNNNNNNNNNNNNUAGUGGUUCGGCUUGAUGCAAGCCUACGUCCACUCUUCUGCACUGACAGCCGAUUGGCUGGAUUUCACUAUGAACAAAGAGAUGUUACAGUGUUGAUCUUCCUUGAUUUCUCGAUGUAGAUGAUCUACUACACUCGCUCAAGGUAUCACCAAGUAUAAACACUCUCUGUGUAUACAAUUUCGCUCGAACUGUAUCGACUAACAAUCAAGGUUCUUCAGAUUCUGGAAUUUUCCUAUCAAUCACACACUUAAAACAACUAGAGCGUCUUCAUUUUAUACUCCUUUAUGCCAUCAUAGCCGUUGGCACUUACCAAAGGAAUUCCUCCAAUCUACCCAUUGGACGGAAUCAAUUAAGAAGAUCAUCCGAGCUAUUUAAGGAAUCUGAUGAUAGCCCAUCAAUCCUGUUCGCCCAUACAAUCAGGAUCUUGGUUUCCAAGAAUAGAACAUUCCAAGAAUGUUUCGUCGAUCAUUGGAUCUUCAAUUGAUCUUAGAUAGGAAUCAAAGAAUCCGAAAUGAUUAUCCAACCAAGGGAUCUUUUCCAGAGGAUAGGAUCGAAUCCUCAACCAUAUACUUCGGCUUUGGAUUUCCUUCGUCACUGGAUUAGAAAGACUGUCAGUGAGAAUAGUCAUGAGUCUUGAGUCUUGAGUCUUGAGUCUUGAGUUUACAAAGUCUUGAGACUUUAAACUGUCGAUAUCCAGACUAGACUAAUAGAAAUGUUUUGUCAGCUUCAAAAUAUUCUGGAAAGAUUUCUCCAACAAAUGUUACCUCUGCCUUAUAGAAAGCACGAUGGCCCUUUUGUGUACCUUCUGUCGUGAUACUGGAAAAGAUCUAGCCUUACGGAAAUGCCAGAGUCAUUGAUGCUAAUCCUUUUCUGGACUAUUGUGAGUUACUUUUUCACUGAAUCCAUGGCAGUGUCCCAAUUAGAUAUCAAAUUAAGUUUCCCGACGGAUGUUUCGCNNNNNNNNNNNNNNNNNNNNNNNNNNNNNNNNNNNNNNNNNNNNNNNNNNNNNNNNNNNNNNNNNNNNNNNNNNNNNNNNNNNNNNNNNNNNNNNNNNNNGAUCUAGGUCGGCGAGGUCGCGCGACCUCCCGUGACCUUGCCGACCCAGAUCCAGGGACAGCAAGGUCGCGUGACCCCGCCGCGACCCAGAUCCGGGGGCGACGAGGUCCUCCCGCGACCUCACCGCCCCAGAUUUGGGUCGCGGGGGUCACCGAAGGUCGCGCGGCGUGGUCGCUUGACGUCCGGCAGCCUCCCGCCGAGGUCGCGGGACCUCGCCGCCCCAGAUCUGGGUCGCAAUGGGUCGCCCGACGUCCGGUAGCCCUCACCAGGGGUCGCCUAACGUCUGGCUUGCCUUGUCGGGGAUCGCCCGACGUCCAACAGCCCUCGCCGAGGUUCGCCCGACGUUCAGCAACCCUCGCCGGGGGUCUCCCGACCUUUGCCAUUGCCAAUUUAUUUUUUUUAUUUUUUUAUAAUUUUUUUAUCACAAAAGUCCUAUAAUUUCCCCAAACAUCAUUUGCUCAAAGAUACUUCAUAAUGGACUUUUAAAUUGUAAUUUACCAAACACAAUUUGCUUUCUGAAAAGUCCCCCCUCUCAACCUAAAGUUCUUUGCAUUUUCCCAAUGGUUUUCCCAAAAAGUCUAACCAAACACACCCUUAGUGCAUUAGCUCGACUUAUUGGGUGCAAAGCUUUGAAACUACGGCUUUUCAGUUUCAUUCAUUGCCCACCGUCUUGACGAAAGAAUUAAAAAGUCGAUCUUUAGGUGCCGCGAAGAAUGAUUGGCACGGAUGCGUUUCAAGAGACCCCUAUUGUUGAGGUAACCCGGUCCAUAACGAAGCACAACUAUCUGGUUCUUGACGUGGAAGAUAUACCGAUGAUCAUCAGCGAGGCAUUCUAUCUAGCGACUUCAGGGAGGCCAGGUCCGGUUCUCAUUGAUAUACCUAAGGAUAUACAACAGCAGCUUGUGGUUCCAAAGUGGGACAUGCCUGUGAGGUUGCCAGGAUACACGUCGAGGUUGCCUAAGCCGCCUCAGGAGGCGCUCCUGGAACAGAUUGUGAGGUUGAUCGCCGAAUCAAAGAAGCCAGUCUUGUAUGUGGGCGGUGGGUGUUUGAAUUCGAGUGAGGAGUUGAUCAGGUUUGUAGAACUUACAGGGAUCCCUGUGGCGAGUACUUUGAUGGGUCUAGGGUCGUUCCCGUGCACGGAUGAUUUGUCGCUUCAUAUGCUUGGGAUGCAUGGGACUGUAUAUGCAAACUAUGCAGUGGACAAAAGUGAUCUGUUGCUCGCCUUUGGAGUUCGGUUUGAUGAUCGUGUGACGGGCAAGCUGGAAGCUUUUGCUAGCCAAGCUAAGAUCGUUCACAUUGAUAUCGACUCGGCUGAGAUCGGAAAGAACAAGCAACCUCACAUAUCUGUUUGUGGGGAUAUGAAAUUGGCCCUGCAAGGGAUUAACAGGUUGUUAGAAGGGACAGCAUCAAAGCUUAAAUUUGACUUUUCUGCUUGGCGGGUGGAGCUUGAUGAGCAGAAACAGAAGUACCCAUUAAGUUUCAAGACAUUUGGGGAUUGCAUACCUCCUCAGUACGCGAUUGAGGUUCUUGAUGAGUUGACCGAUGGAAACGCAAUCAUAAGUACAGGUGUCGGGCAGCAUCAAAUGUGGGCUGCACAGUUUUACAAUUAUAGGAGGCCUCGGCAGUGGUUGACAUCAGGAGGAUUUGGGGCUAUGGGUUUUGGGUUGCCAGCUGCUAUUGGAGCUGCUGUUGCAAAGCCUGAUGCCAUUGUCGUGGACAUUGAUGGAGAUGGGAGCUUUAUCAUGAAUGUCCAGGAGUUGGCUACUAUCAGAGCGGAGAACCUUCCGGUUAAAAUUCUUCUAUUGAACAAUCAAUACCUGGGCAUGGUUGUCCAAUGGGAGGAUCGCUUCUACAAGGCCAAUAGGGCAGACUCUUACUUAGGAGAUCCGGCGAGAGAGUCUGAGAUAUUCCCAGACAUGUUAAAGUUUGCUGAAGCUUGUGGAAUACCUGGUGCUCGGGUGACCAAGAAAGCAGAUGUUAGAGCUGCAAUUCAGACAAUGCUGGAUACUCCUGGGCCAUACCUGCUAGACGUGAUUUUUCCCCAUCAAGAGCACGUCUUGCCUAUGAUUCCAAUUGGUGGGGCUUUUAAAGAUGUGAUAGUCGAGGGUGAUGGACGAU